RNAcentral lists this long non-coding RNA (55341 nucleotides) under Citrus sinensis (sweet orange). RNAcentral's name for it is "long non-coding RNA (CSIN_LNC001097)". The record is from RNAcentral. Lineage: Eukaryota; Viridiplantae; Streptophyta; Magnoliopsida; Sapindales; Rutaceae.
AAAUCUAGUUUACUUACCUUCUAGCAUCCUCGAGUAACAAAUAUGUGUCGAUAUCACCGACCUAAAGUCAAUAAAAAAUACUCCUAUAAGAUAAAAUCAUAUCAAAUCAUAAACUCUAUUGUUCUCAAAUUCCUCAAUAUAACACCCUCUAAACUUAACCUCAAUUAAUCUUAAUUUGAAUAAUUAAUUACAAAAAAUACCAAAAUUUAAAUUACUAGAAUGCCCCUUAAAUCUCAAAAUCACAAGUUGCCAAAUUAUCCUCAAAAUCAUAAUUUAUCGGACUACCCUUAGAUUCUUAUUCUCCAAAUCAUAAAUCACUGAAAUAUUCACGAAAUAAAAAAUUUAAGAAAUUACCCACAAAUUCUAAAAAAUUACUAAAAUGCUCUCAUCGAUCAACAGUGAUCUAAAUUCAUACGGUGGUGAUGGGAAAGGUCGGGAUAGAAGCUUCAUGUCGCAUUGAAUCCAACGGUGGCGACGGAGGCACCAGAUUGAGCUCCCAAAGCUGUGAACACUUUGGAGGUCGAUUGGCAGCAAAUCAACUAUUUGUGGUGAUGUGGGUGGUAAAACAAUGCAAGUAGUGACCUAAGGAACGAAACCCAGUCGGUGGCGUCACCCAAAACCAGUGAAAUCACAGUGAAUGGAGGUGGCAAAUACUGCAAGUUUUGCGGGCCCAAAUGACGGCUGUCUGGUCGUUAUUCAACAGUAAUGAUGGCGGGGAAGUGACCAUUGGUUCUAAAGCUUCUAAUCGGUACCUCCCGUUGCUGGUGGGGUGGUCGGGAACGAGAAAUGGUGACCAGGUUGGUUCAUGGGUCAGGUUUUCCGAGUUGGUUUUGGCAGCUUUCUCUCUUUCUCACGUGUGAAUAUGCUUCCUCUUCUUUAAACAAUUUCCAGCUUCCUUUUUUUAUAUAAUCAAAUAUCAAGUCAAAAUUAGUCAAAGCAGCGGGGUGGGGUAUUACAAAGUAUCACUACUACAAAAAUGUAAAACAAUAACCCAUACAUUAUGACGGUUUAUUUAAAAAACCGUCAUUAAAAAUAUUUAAUGACAGUUAUUAUAUGAACGGUCAUAAUAUAUAAUAUUUAUAAUGACGGUUCUAUUAUAAAACCGUCAUUAAAUAUCAUGCCAAAAUGUAAUUUUACUUUUAAUGAUGGCUACUUGUAAAAACAGUCAUUAUAAAUUUCAAACUUUUAAUGACGAUUUUAUUAUAUAACCGUCAUUAAAUAUCAAGUUAUUUUUAAUGACGGUUUAUAAAAAAACCGUCAUUAAAAGUCAUUACAUAUUAAACUAUUAUUUUUAUAACGAUUCUAUUAUAUAACCGUCAUUAAAUAUCAAGUUAUUAUUUUUAAUGACGGUUUAUAAAAAAAGGUCAUUAAAAAUCAUUACAUAUUAAGUUAAUACUUUUUAUGACGGUUCUAUUAUAUAACCGUCAUUAAAUAUAAAAUUAUUACUUUUAAUGACGGUUUUUAAACAAAACCGUUAUUAACAAUCAUUAAUGACAUUAUAUAUAUAAACUGUCAUUAACUAUAAAAUUUUAUUUUUAAUGACGGUUUUGUUUAAAAACCGUCAUUAAAAAGCUACAAUAUUUUUAAUGACGGUGUUUAAUAGGCUUGGCAAAAUCCGGAUCCUGUCCGGGUUUUGGUGUUGCCCGGGACCGGACCGGAUGAGAGAAAUGUAAGUCCGGAACCGGGUUAAAACCCGGUUUUUCCGGGUGCGGUCCGGGCUUGAGCCCGGUACCUUCCGGGUCCGGGUUUUGAUCCGGGCUUUUAAAACCCGCAUGUGAUAAAUUUAAUUUUUUUUUCAAUUUUUUUCUUUAAUUUUUUUUUUCAUUUCUCUAACAAUGCAAAUUUUAAAAAAGAAAAUAAUCAAAUAAACUCAUUCAAUCUCAAACUUUAAAAAAGAAAAUAGUCAAAUACAAAUAUAUAACACAUUAACAAUGCAAAUUUUGCACAAAUGAUAAAUAAAAAUUAUUUCAAUCUACUUUCUAAUACCUAAAUUCAUCUAAUUUCUAACUUAAACUCAUUCAAUCUAUAUAUAAAAUAAAUAAAUUAAAUUCAACAACACAAUAAUUACACAAUAAAUUUAAAUAACAUCCAAUAUAUCAUAAAUUCAUAAUUAUAUAUUUAUAUAUAAUAUAUUUAUUUUUUNNNNNNNNNNNNNNNNNNNNNNNNNNNNNNNNNNNNNNNNNNGUCAUUAAAUAUCAAGUUAUUAUUUUUAAUGACGGUUUAUAAAAAAAGGUCAUUAAAAAUCAUUACAUAUUAAGUUAAUACUUUUUUAUGACGGUUCUAUUAUAUAACCGUCAUUAAAUAUAAAAUUAUUACAUUUAAUGACGGUUUUUAAACAAAACCGUCAUUAAGAAUCAUUAAUGAUGUUAUAUAUAUAUACUGUCAUUAACUAUAAAAUUUUACUUUUAAUUAAAAAGCCACAAUAUUUUUAAUGACGGUGUUUAAUGACCGUCAUCGAAUAUAAAGAAUCGUUUUUAAUACAUUUCAUGACCGUUUUAUAAUAACCGUCGUUAUAUGUUAUUUGCCUUAAAAAAUAAAAAUUGAAUUAUGGGUAAGAGGAUAGAAAAUCACAUUGACAGAAAAGAGGACUGAAACGCCCUGAUUUUUACUGCUGCGUUUACUUUUUGAAGAGCUCAGAUCAGGAGCGAAUCUUUAUCCAAUAAUUAUAAAAAGUUCAUAUUUCAAAUAAAGGAGAAUUCCGAAGAAUUAAUAAUUAAAUCUAUCUUAUUUAUUUUUUUCGAUAUCUUAAUUUUUUUGUGACUUAAAUUUUUUUUUUUUUAUGAAGAUUGCUUUAGCCUAAAUUUAACUUAACUAUUUUACCCGGUCCUUGGAAAAUCGUUCUGCUGUACCGUACAUCCGCCUUGGCCGUACAGCAGAAUGACGGUGUUUAAUAACCGUCAUCGAAUAGAAAGAAUCAUUUUUAAUACAUUUCAUGACCGUUUUAUAAUAACCGUCGUUAUAUGUUAUUUGCCUUAAAAAUUUUUUAAAAAAAAGCCGAUAAAAGGAAUAAAGGAAACGCGCAAUCCCUAACCACUCACAUUCGUUGUCUUCUUCUUCAAUUUUCACGAAUUACAAUCACAACGACUCACUCAGUCACACACACCAGCCCUAACCCUACCUAAGCUAUCAAACGCCAAUGCCGCUGCCGCUGUCAAAUCGAUUCAAGUGCUCCGGCGCUGAGUCUAGCCGUCCUUGAGCCGAUUUGCUUCCUUUUUCUGCCGCCGCUGUCAAUCUCUGCCAUUCUUGAGCCGAUUCACUUCCGCAAAACAGCUGCUGUCAUCUCUGCCGACAUUGCCUCUGUGUUCGUUCACCGUCAGAUGCAGGGUUAUUGUGGUGACACUGCCUCCGCUGUCGACUUCCUUCCCUCUUCAUUCUCCGUCUGAAGUUCAACUUUCUUGUAGGUGGAAGUUGCUCGGUUCUUAACAGCAGUUCUCACUGGAGAUUUUAAGUUCCUUCGACAUCUUGUGGGUAGAUAGAUAUUGCUUAGAUAUCGUAUUUUUUCCUUUUGUUGGUUCUCACUUUUGUUCUGACCUUCUUGCAGGACAUAUCCAACAGGGAAGGUUUAGCUUCUGAAGGUGACUGGUAUGACAGAUGUUUCAAUUCACGGUAAUGUUUCUGCUUCUGGAUUGGCUGUGCUGUUAUAAAUUCAUUGUUUUUUUAAUCAAAUUUCGGUGCAUGUUAUGCAGGAUCAUUCCUUUAAAGGAGGUCUCAGAAGAAAGGCCUGAUAUCUGUGUGCUGGCUGAGUUUCCAUCAGAAGGAAGGUUCGUUUUUUCUGAAAGUUUUAUGGUUGAGACUUAAACUUCAUCUGCUGUACGGCCAAGGCGGAUGUACGGUACAGCAGAUAUUUUCUUAAGUUUUUAACUUCUGAUAUUUGCUUUCUAUAAAUGAAGGUCGCUUUUGAGAAGGUUGCACCUUUACAACAUUGAAAGAAUGGAUAAUGCAUCACUGUCUAUGGCAUUGUCUGCCUGCCCAUCUCUCCUUGAUCUAGAAAUUGUUGGCCUGUAAGUUUCUUUAGGCUGGGUUUUCCUUGUAUACAUUUCCUUUGGUUUUAAGAAGGUUGCACCUUUAUAGCAUUCUGCUGUACCGUACAUCCGCCUUGCCGUACAGCAGUAUUUUAUUAAAUAUUAUUUAUUUAUUUUUAUUUUUAUUUUAAGGAUAAAAUGGGAAGAGGGGGGAGUGGAUUCCCACUCCCCACUCCAAAAUUGAGUGGGACCCACGGAUUCCCACUCCCACUCCCCCCUUUUUUAAGGCAAGUAAACACUGGAGUGGGAGGAAUCCACACUCCACACUCCCACUCCAGAAAGUAAACACUACCUAAGUGGAGUUUACUUAUUUGUUAAAAAAAUAAAUUUUAAAUUAUUAAUGAUUUAAUUGUCUUAUGCUUAUUAUAUUGUUCGUAAAAUUUUUGUUACAAGUCCAGCCCAUGAACCUCUUUAUAUUUUAGCAUUUCUUUAUUUAUUUACGAAACGAAAACCAGCGUUCGGAUUCAAAAGGAACAAAACAGAAAAAGGAAGAAAGGAAACAAGAGGAUAACAGGACGUGAGAGAGGAGAAGAGGGAGAAAGAAGAGAAAGACAAGAGAGGCUAGGUGAAGGAUUUGGAUUUAAAGAAAGAGAAUUCAAUUUCAGAGCAAAAUAUUAAAUAUCUGGCUUUUUAAAUUUGUAAGCCUUCUUUCUCAGUUCACUUUAUUCUUUUAUUUUUCUUCAAAAUUCUUGUUUAAAUUGGCAUGCAUGUUGAUGUUGUUAAGUCAUUUCUAAAUUAACUUGCAUGCAUGAUUAAAAUUCUGUUUAUUUAGGUAUUAUGUCAUUGAAAUUAGUCUCUUUUCCCAUGCUUGUUUCAAGUUCCAAUUCUUAUUUGAAAAAAAAAAAAAAAUUCGCUGUUUGUGCCAUAAUCUGUUUUGGGUAUUAAAGUUGAUACUACCUAGCAAAUUCUAAACUGUAAUGGCUGAUUUCUUCUCUUAUUUUUGUUUAAUCUAUUCAAAUUCAUGUAUAAAUUUUACAGGCGUUAGAUAUUUGUCUAAUUAUCAUGUAUGUGUUAAAUUCAUUUUGGGUGAAUUUUCAUACUAUUUAAUCAAGUUCAAAGUUACAUGGGUUUGGCCAAUUAUCACAUAAUCUCUUCUUUGACUAUUUGAUUAGAUUUUUGUUCAUGCGUGGCUUAAUUAAUUUCAAAAUCUUCUUACUUAUAAAGCAUUAAUAUCUUUUGCAAUUAAAUUCUCUAAAUUUUCCUGGCUGCUGUAUGAACAACUCUAGUUUUUUUUCCUUAAAUAAAUUUGUUUGAAUUCUAAUUAAUACUUUAAUUUAAUGGAUUAUAAUUUAAAUCUUGCAGCAGAUUAUAAUUUAUGGUGCUAAUGGUAUUUUUUUUAUUUAAUCCAUUGUUUUGUUCUUCAGGCUAUUGAUCCUAGGACUUGCAUGGUUUUAUUCAAAAUGCUAAAUUGGGUUGCAUUCCAGUGGCUGUAUUUUGACGGGAAAAGAAGUAUGUAGUGCUACUCUUCUUUUUGAUUUUUUUGAUUUUAUUGUCAUUAUUAUUUAGCUUAACGGCAACCCAAUUCACUGUGGGCCGCUGCUGUACCGUACAUCCGCCUUGGCCGUACAGCAGUAAGGAUUCAGUUUCUGAAGGGCAAGCUUGCUGGCUGGGUAUAAAUGUUCCAAGUGCCAAUCCCACCUUAUGUAAGCACAAAAUAUAGUCUCCAUUUCCUUUUUGGAUUAUAUUUGUUUGUAUAGUUAUAUGAUACUGGAUUUUAAUUUAAGAAUUUGUGCAGUACAUUUUUUUACUGUUAGGAGUUAGUUUGAUCAAGGUUAUUUAAGUACUAAACUGUUAUAAUUGAGCUUGCAUGCAUUUAAAUUUUUUUAUAUGUAAAUGACAAUUAUAUCAAUGUGUAAUGUAAAUUGAAAUUUGCCAAUGUGGCUUCAAUUGGACAGUUUAGAAUGUGAAAACAACUAUCUAAAUUUUAAUUUAAAAAAACAAUUGAAGUAUAGUAAUUUUAAAUUGUUAUCUUUUUUUAUUUUUACUCGUGCAAAAGAUGACGGUUCUUAUAUAAGAACAAUCAUUAAAGAACGAUAUAAGAUGACUGUUAUGAUACAAAACCGUCAUUAAAAUUUGAUAUUUAAUGACGGUUAUUAAAAAACUUUCAUUGAAAAUAUAUAUGUAAUGACGAUUAUUAAAAAAAUCUGUCAUUAAAAAUAUAUAUUUAAUGACGGUUAUUAAAAACCCGUCAUUAAAAGUAUAUAUUUAAUGACAGUUGUUGGCAAAAAACCGUCAUUAAAACUUAUGUACCUAUAGCAUAUAAUGACGGUUUAUUACAAUAACUGUCAUAAUAAGUAGACAUUUAAUGACGGUUUUUAAACCGUCAUAAAAAAUGUACCCCUUUAAAUGUUGCUGCCUAAGAUGACGGUUUUAAAACUGUCAUCUUAUGUCUUUUAAAACUGUCAUUAAAGGCCAAUUUUGUAGUCCUGUAUGAUCUUGAAAAAAGAACACGUACAUACUGAUAUUGCCAUAGAUAAGCUUAAAGGUCUUAUUUCUUUCUUUGAAAGCCAUAGAAAAGAUGGAUUCAUGUUUGCUGUGAUUUCAGCAAGUGAAAUGGAAAUAGAAUCUAAAUUUCAUGAAAAAAAGUAUAAUUUGUAGAAAAAGAAACAAAUUUAAUGAAAAUGUUAGUGAAGAGGAAAUGUUGUCUGUUGAAGAGUCCUUUAGAAUUAAUUAUUUUAUUUAUAUAGUAGAUCAAGUUAUUUCUACAAUAAGUUAUUUGAAAUUAUUCACAUAUAUGAUAAUAUGGUUGGAUUUUUGUUUAAUUUCAAAAAAUUACAAUCGUUAAAUGACACUACGUUUUAAAUAUUUAUUAUGUUAAUCUCGAAAAUACUUUAAAACAUGCUACACUUUCUGAUAUAGAUGGUGCAUAUUUAUUUUAAGAGUUGAGAUUUUAAAUGAAGUAUUUCAAGGUAAAAAAAAUACUAAUUAAUUAUUUGAAAACAAAUUGAUUCUUUCUCAAAUGCAUAUAUUGCAUAUAGAAUAUUAUUAAUAGUACUUGUUUCUGUAGAAAGAAGUUUUUAAAAUUAAAAUUUAUAAAAACAUAUUUAGAAUUAACAAUCUCGCAAGAGAGAACAAAUGAAUUAGCUAUAUUGAUUAUUGAGAGAAAUAUAUUCAUGAAAUUAGAACAUAAAAAUUUAAUUAAUAAUUUUGCAUUUCAGAAAGCUAGAAUAAAUUGAUCUUAAAUAAAUAAAAAUUUUAGUACAAUUCACCUACGACUUUAAAAAUUGGUUGAGUGGUUCUUGCCUACAAGACUUGCGAUGAUAAAGACACUAAAAUGUACAUUGUUAGACACAUGUAUUUCUUUCUUUUUUUUUAAUUUUUCAUCAGACCUAUCAAAUUGUAAUUUGAUGGUUAAUAAUUUUUUUCAUAUUGUGUCAAAAAAAAAAAAAAAAAAGAGAGGCUCCUCGAACAAGCCUCGCACCACUAGUCUAAGUUUGUAUGCGCAUGUGCUUAUGUACUGCACACUGAUAUACUAUGUUAUCAUUGUGUCAGAAAGGAAAGGCUCUGACUCCUCGACAUGCCCUAUACCAACUAGUCUAAAUUUUCAUAUGCAUGUGGCUCAUGUGCUACACUUUAGUGUAAUGCAGUAAAAUCAAGAAGAAAAAAAGUGAAAUAUGUUGUGUCUUUUCCGUGAGAAAUUCUAAAAUGCAUAAGAGAUAAAGAUUUUGCUAAGUUACUGCUGCUGUAACUUUCAAUUCCUUUAAUAAUCAGGGUCCAGCUACCAUGCCCCUCGGGGCAUGGUACUCGUUUUUUUUGUCAAUAUCCCGUGUAGCCGUUAGAUUAUAAAUAAUUUAAUCCAACGGAUGGGUUUGAAAGGGCUAAAAGUGAAUAACAGUGGGCUACCGUCGAAACCAGUUUCUUCCAGUUUGUUUGUUCGAAAUUAGUUUUAGGGUCUAUAAACCCUUAUUGGCCAUUUCGGGCGAUGACUGCAGUUUGUCGAACGCAAGGAAAUUGAAGUGCGCAAGGUGUAACUGCGGUUGGGGUAGCGCUUCCGUGUGCGAUUAUUGAAUUGGCUUGCAGUGCUUGCAACUUGUGGCGGCAGUAUUGAACGAGGCAGAAGGGAUUGGGUUAACACAAUUAAAGGUCAGUAUAAUUUGAAUUUCAGAUUAGAGAUAGGAAUCAUGUGUGGGUGAUAAAAGUGGAUGGUGGAAAUUUAACGUGUCGUUUGGACAAUUGGAAAUUUUGGGAGUAGAGGGCAAAAAAUGUAAAUUUAGAUUAAGGAUAUUUCCUGCACAUCGCGAUUGGUGGUUACGUUGAGAAAUUGAACCCAGUUGAAUUAAUGAAGUGUUGUGCAUAUAAAUGGUUCCAAAAUAUAUUUUGUACAACGAGUGAAAAAUUGAGGGGUUUCGGGCAAUAAAUAUAAAAAAUAAUUGGGGAUUAUUUAGCAGCAGUUUAAUGUGGCGUAUUUAAAGUAAUAGGAUGAAGAAGAAGGUUGGUGUUAUGUUGUGUAACUUGAUUGUGUUGCCGGCAAUUACUGUGCCUUUCUUGAACUUAGUCAUGACUAUGCAUUCGAAUAGAAUUUCAUAGAAGCACCAGACAUGUGACAUGUUAAUUAUCAAUUUCUACUGAAUUAUUAAGAUUUAGAUAAUAAAAGUUUUCAUUUGUAGCAUAGUAAAGGGAUUAAUUAAUUGAUUAGUAUUGUAUGGUUGUAAGUAUAAGCAAUGAGAACCCAAUGUAUGACAUUGAAUUCCACAGUAGCGUGGGUGUUAAUAAGUUAACAUUGAACAUGCGUGGACAAUUAGUAACAGGAAAAGUGAAAUUGAAGCAAAUAUUUAAAUGAUGUGAAUGAGAAGCAUGAAGCUGAUGACAUGGGGGUAAUGGUACAUGCACUAACUGAAUUUGUAUAUUGUUUUCGUGGAGUUGAUACGAAAUGUUUUUGUUAGUUUCGUUUGGGGCCGGUAAUGUAAAUGAUAUGUAUUUGUGUUAUGCAUUAGUAAGGUAUGUAUAUGUUGCUAUAAAACAUAUUUUGAUGGUUAGAAAUGGCAGUGUGACUGAAAUUCAGGAAUGAAGGUGGUGGGGACAAAUAAGCGUAAGGAAUGUGACAUUAACAGAGGGACUGAAGUGGUUGGUGUUGAUGCAAGCAAUGAUGGGGGAAGAAAAAGGCAGUGCCGCAAUGGGUUCAUAAGAUAUUUGUAAGCUAUGUUAAUGGAAAAAUAAAUAAAUGAACAUAGGACAGUAACAGUGGAGUGGUAAGUAUAGGUUUUGACUAAUUAUUUUGGUAUUGAUACGAUGAUAUUGCAGUGGUGAAGUUGUGCGUCAGAUUAAGGCAAAUGAUGGAAUGGCAUGCAUUACAAAAGAGGUUAGUAAAUUAGCAUUGUAGAAAUAAAGAAAUGGUAAUCGCCACCGGAUUAAUGUGUAGUGAGUUAAAUUGGGUUACCAUGAUUGUAUUGUAGAUUCGAAAAGAAAUAGGAUCCACGUAUAAGAAUUUGCCACCAGAGGAAAAGUGUCGGUAUAAAAGUGAGGCGAAACGAGUAGGGAAGUCAAAAAUUGGGAAGGCAAAGUUCCCCACCAGAUGUGCUCCAGAUAGAUUAGCUGCAGCAGUUUUACAACUUACAGAUGAACAAAGAGUAGUUGUUCGUGAAAUGGGCUUUGGUAGUUUGUUACAACUGAACUGUGGCAGGCUAAAGAGGAAUCUUUGUGGAUGGUUAGUUGAGAAGAUCGAUAUUGCGAGGUGCAUUUUACAGUUGAAUGGUGUUGAGGUGGAGCUAAGCCCGAAGAGUUUUAGUUAUGUAAUGGGCAUAUCAGAUGGGGGUAAGCCACUUCAGUUAGAAGGGGAGAGUUCUGAAGUAUGUGCAUAUGUAGACAAUUUUACCCCAACAUCAAGGGGUAUAAACAUAACGGUGUUGGCAGGAAUUUUGCAAAAGUUGAAGUCAGCGGAUGAUCAAUUCAAAGUGACAUUUAUGAUGUUUGCACUAUGUACUAUUUUAUGUCCCCCAGGAGGUGUGCAUAUAAGUUCUGGCUUUUUAUUUUCUUUAAAGGAUGUUGAAAGUAUUCCAAAAAGGAAUUGGGCGACGUUUUGCUUCCAUAGACUUAUUCAAGGGAUUACAAGACACAAGGAAGAACAGGUAGCGUACGUAGGAGGUUGUCUGCUAUAUCUACAGGUACUUUUUAAUUAUGGUAACAGUUGCAGCCAGUUCGCAACAUAUGAUAAUAUUAAUCAUGAAGUGUCGAAAGAUAUGUAAGUUAGGGUAGCAUAUUGAACAACUGUCAUGGUAGGCUGAAAAAAUCGAAAAAAAAUAGAUUAGAUGAAAUAGUUAGUGAAUACAUAUGAUCGAGGGCAGAAUUUAAUCCUCAUAUACAUAAAUGGACAUACAUGUGAGGAUUAAUGGUAAUUGAUCUGUAUAGAUCUGGACAGUUAUAGUAGUUUGGAAAUUAACUCGUUUGCAUUCAAACCGUAUGUAUUGUACCAUAAUCCCUGUAAGUGUUCGUUUGCAUGCAGAUGUUGUACUUCAACUCUAUUGUAUACGGAAAGCUGGAGAGGGAUAGGUCAAUGUGUCCGCUUGCUUUGUGGAAUGUAAACGAGAUAAAGAAGUUAAUGAAGUGGAUAGACAGCAAAGGAGGUUUUGAUAGCCAUCAGGUCAUAUAACUCGAAGCGAUAAGACAAUUGUUGGCUGUUUUUGCCAUUAACAUUUUGAAUAAUAAGUAUGAGUUGACGACCACUUGAUUGAGAAAACAAACAUCAUAUGCAUUAUAUAUCAUAUGAAAGUUGAUGAGGAUUAAAGGUUUAUAAAAUUAUCAGUGGUUGUCUUUUAGUUUUGCGAACCCCAUUUAUUAUGAGGUAAAAAAAUUUUUCGCAGGUGUCUAUCUCUUCCACGUCGAAAGAAGGCUGUCAAUUACAUUCACUCAGAAAAUUUCAGAAAGAAAAAUUUGGCAGUUUAAAUACGGAUGCAGCAAAUGAGACAUUUGUUAAGGUAGAUAAUGUGUCCAAUCUGGUUGAUGACGUAGCGGAGCUGGUGACCUUAUCUAGUAGGCUCGCAGGACAUGUAGAUAGGCUAAAGGCAGUUGGGUCGCGCACAAUGAAGGGAGGUGCUGAAAAAAUGAGGGAUUGUUCAGGGUAGAAUGUUAACCAGUUAUCAUAAUUGUCAUUAUUGUUUGUUAGCAUGCACAAUCACUUCUUCUACUUCUGUUAUGCUAUUUGUAAUCCUAAUAUAACUCUUUAUAUUUUAUAAGCACCUUCAUGCAAAAUUUAUCCCCACGGUUAAUGUUAUUCAACUAAUUGACUUACUCAAACUAUUUAUAUAUUACGUCAACUAUCCAGGUCUACAAAUUACAUUGAUCCAAAUAUAUUACACAUGAGGAAACCAAACGUGGUCACUGGAAAACUGCCAAUUCAGCAGUUAUUAGUUGAAGGCGAUGGUGGAAAUAAUACCCUGGAUGACAAUUAUCGUCGAUAUCCAGCAACACAAGUCAUGGCUGCAUCACCAGAAUAUUGCUCAUGCAAUGCACAUGAUGAUGCCAGAUUUGAGCAUGGCAAAUUAUCAAAAGAUCGAACCACUACCCUUAUAAAAAGGAGAAGGACAAUGAGACAACUUUUUACUGCUACACAAUCUCAAGGCCAUACUGGGACUACCAGUUUCACACCUAAUACAGGUCAAAGGUUUCAACCACAUGUUAAAUGUUGUGCUGCUUCCGACAAAGUAUACGAUGAUGGCCGAAAUGUUGUUCCUGACAUAGCUUAUGAUGAUUACGAGCUUGAAGGAUAUGCUUCAGAUACUGACAAGAUGACACUUUACAGUUCUCCACAAACUGAUGAAGGUGAUUUUACAGGGGAUGGAUUUUUAUUCGAAAAUGUGUCUAACAAGAUGAUCAUUCAAUUGGGUCAUCAUUUUAAGGACGUGUUCCAAUUUAGAAGAGCUGUUGAAGUUUUUGCAAUACGAGAAGGAUUUAAACUAUGCAUUAUGGAGAAUAGGAGUGAUUAUGUUAGUUGCGAGUGUUCUGCAUUAUACUGUGAUUGGAAAAUCACUGCAUCAGCUGAUUCAAGUGGUCGUACAUUUGCAGUAACCGAAUUCGUUAAUGCUCACAAGUGCAGCAGGUCUGCUACAGAGUUUUAUGACAAUCCAAAGUGGAUUGCCGCAAUGUUCUUUCAUACUUGGAAACAACAACCAAACCUUCAGCCGUAUGUCAUACAGAAACAAAUUGCAUCCAGAUACAAUGUGUCAUGCCCUCUUCCCAAACUACACGAAGCUUCAAAACGUGCAAAGGCAUUACUUGAUAUUGAUCACACGGAUGGAUAUUUAGAUAUAUAUCAGUACAUUGAGGAAAUGAAAAAGCUCCAUAACCGGAAUACAGUUAUUUUGGAGACUGAAAAUAAUGAAGCUGUUGGUGAUGCCACUUUCAACAGACUGUUUGUCUGCUUUGCUGAACCUGCUUAUGCAUUCAAGUAUGAAUGUUGCAAGAUGCUUUUUGUUGAUGGUUGGAAACUUAAAGGACCGUAUGAAAGUGUAAUGUUGGUGGCUGCAACUAUUGAUGGAAAUGAUGGCAUUCUCCCUAUAUCGUUCUGUGAGGUGCUUCAUGAGGACAUAGAUUCAUGGGUAUUUUUCUUGACCAAUCUUACAAAAGCUUUGAAAAUGGAACAUGGCGAAGGUCUCUGCAUUCUAACGGAUGGCGAAAAUGGUCUUGAUUAUGUCUGCGAAGAGUACCUCUUUCGCGGGGAGAUAAGACAUUGUUGCCGAAAUAUUUUCACCAAAAUGGUCAAAACUUUUCCGGAUGCACCUGUUCAACACUUAUUCUGGGCUGCUUGCCGUAGUGCUUCCAGUUACAAGUUCAACAACUACAUGAAAUUGAUAACGGAUGAAAGUGAAGAGUGUCAUGCUUGGUUAAUGGGUACAAAUUGGAACCAAUGGGCAUUGCAUUGCAUGCCUAACUGGGUUAAAAGUAACCACGUCACACUUAUGGUCACUGAACGUCUUCGCCGAUUCAUGAAAAGAUACUUGCACCUGAGCAUUACUCACAAGUUUACUGGAUUGACAAAUGCAACUGCUUAUCUUUUUGAGCAUCGAAGACUUCAAGGGUGGGAGUGGAUUUACCAGCGAAUUACCCCAACUGUCACAAACAUAAUUCAACAUCAUCUUAUUGAAGCCCGCUACCUGGCCGUGCAAAAUAAUAACGGCACUAUUUCAGGUGUUACGGAUGCUGCUUCUACUUUGUACGAGGUGGACAUGCAAAGAAAGCUUUGCAGUUGUGGCUUCUGGCAGAAGUCAGGUGUUCCAUGCGCACACGCAUGCAAGUGUAUUCUACAAAAGGCUGAAAAGAUCGAUGACUUUGUUGACAAAAUGCGGACAAUCUCUCAAUAUAGGGAUACUUAUGGACCGGGAAUGAAUUCACUGCCAAAUGAUUUUCCAUGGAAGUCCCAUGUUUCCACUGUUUUGCUCCUUCCUCCUCGUGCACAUGCCACAAUUGUACAGGACCCGCCUUACCCUAUUCCUCAUACAAAAUAGGUAAAAUUUCCAAGUUUCUUCUAAUAUAUAUUGUCCACACUAUGCAUUUAUUUCAAAUAUUUUUCUCAAAACAACCCUUUUGGUUUACUAUUUCACAUUGUUUAACCGUUUCAGAUCAGUCCUUAUUCGGCCACAACAGAACUUACUGGACAUGACUUCUUCCACCUACCAUCAAGCAGCAAUGAUGAAGAUUCAAUAAGUAAGUCUUUCUUUUUCUUUUUCAUAGUCUGAUACUAUGAAGUCCAAUUGUUAGGGAUAUCAAUCGACUUUACAAGUUCUUGAGCCAACUAUUGCCACAAUUUCAUUUUAAACAGAUAUGACUCAUAUCAUUGCAACCCAACUUUCAAGUGCGCACAAUAUUAUUUACCCUACAUUCAUUACUUGGAUAUUAUAAUAUUCAUCAUAUCCCACCUUAACAUUGGCAUUUGCACGCGCAUUGCUAACUAUAUACUAAAUAUAAUCACUGCAACCGACGAUAUUUCCUUUACUUCUCUGCAUCUUGUACUUAUUUUUAUGCAAUUUUCAGUACAUACCCCUACAUUUAUUUCACACAAUUUUCUCCAUCACAAGCCUUGCACACAAGCUUCAGCAAUUCUUAUUUCAUGUAAAUUCUACUUCUACUGUUUGUCUCCGCUAUUUGUAUUAAUACGUCCUAUGCAUGCAUAAGGCAAUAAUUUUAGGGUUUCACGGUAACCAAUUGUAUUUGUUGGUGUGACAGGGUAUUCGAUUGGUUGUUAAUCCUUACUUAUCUUCGGGUUCGGUUACUUGUGCGAAUCGUAUUUUUAAUUCGUUGUAACACCAUGACGUACAUAAUUUGUCUUCUCAUAUACAAUGAUUUAAUAUUUCACCUUCACGACAAAUCUCUUAGGGAUAUGAUAAAUCGUUCCACCACAUUACCUGCUCAUUAAUUGGUAACAUGCACUUCCUCCAUGAUUGCGGGUCUAUUAAUAUUUCAUUCACCCUAUGCAUUUCAACAUUCAAUUCCACGUGAAUUAUUUACAUAUGCAUGUACGAGCUCUUCCUUUGAUAUAAGUAAGUUAGUUGCAUUGUCAUUCAUACUUGACUUCUCAUUUAAAGGUUUCCUUUUCUCAUGUUGCAGCCCUGUAGCGGUGACUCUAGAGGGACAUGGCCUUUUGAUACCUAUGGUGUGCUGUGUCCUCCACAAUUGUCGCCAUCAAACGAACUCCACCAGCCACGAAACUUAUCCAUAUUUUGUCUGCUCCUAUAUUUAGUUAUUGCAAACUUUCAUCCACUAUAACUGUAUUUUGCUAUCAAUUAAUAGAUGUUAUUAACAUCCUACAACAUUGUGCAAGUUUCACGAUAAUGUGUUUCCAACUUAUGUACUUUACCUCUUAUGUCGACAUUGCAGCUUAUAUUUUGUUCUCCUCCUGCUAGCACCUGCAAUACAAUUAUUUUCUCCAUAUUUCAAAUUUGUUCCUUCUAUUUUCAAUAUCCCUGAUCCAUUUCUCCCUUUCCUUUGUGUUUGUGGCAUUAUUUUCUUUAUUUCAAUUAUGCUCACUUCUAGUUUUAAUCUUGCUCAACUUUGCUGUUAACUUACUGGCUUCAACUUGACCAUAUUGCUUCCAUUCUACCAUAGGUUAUUCUUUAAUCAAAUAAUCUAUUUUACUGAUGUUGGUCGUUUCCUCCUCUGCGUCUUAACUGACUACUCCAUUUUCUUCAUAGUUAUGUUUAUUUUUAAUUAAUUCAUUACUACUAUAAUUAACAUCAGUUAAUCUCAUUAUUUCUUCCUUGCUGUAGUCUUACUUUCACAUGGCUUCGGUCACAAUUGACAUUAUUAAAAAAGGGGUAAUUUUUUAAUCGUCUUUUUAUAUAUGCUUGCUACUACAAAUACUUCUUCCCUCAAACGAUUUUUUGUUAUAUACACCAACUUUUCUUCUUUCCUUUAACGCAUUUAUUGCAACAUUAAUAGUUCAUUUCAUCAUUUAUAUUGACUGCCUCUCCCGAUUUCUUUAAUCUGCUGCGUGCCAACUCCUUACACGUCCGAUUUUUCUCUUUUUCAUCCAACGGCUAGGUCACUACCUGACAAAGCAAGGGGGUUCCGUGCCCAAGGGGGUUCCGUGAUAAUCAUAUGGGUCCUACCACCUAUGACAACUAUUUACAUUAUUUUGAAAGGUUGUAAGUUACAGUAGUUGUAACUUAGUAGCACCCAAGACAUAAUAUAAUCAAUUAAUACAUAUAUGACAUGUGUAUUUAAAUUUUAUAUAACCACUAAUUACUUGUCGGUUCUUCAAAAUAAAUACACUUAAUUAUUUACUUAUUGCAUAGAUGAUAUGGUACUUUAGAGGUAUUCUAAAAUAUCUCUUAUGCCCUUCUGUUCAUUUUCAACUACUAGUCAAUGAAGUGGCAUUUUACAUGCUGAUAUGGUGCCUCGCAAAAACUCUUCUGUUUCGAGAUUGAUGAUCCCAUGGAAAUGGUACAAGUAUCUCUUCUAAUGGUAUUUUACAGGUUGUUGAUGAAAAGUUGCAUGUGUUUUAGAAGACUAAUGGUAUUUGCAUUUUACUUGCAAAUUCUAGUAAAAUCGGCUAUACAUGGAUUCUCUUUGGAUGAAUUUGGAUGAAAGCUCGUUUAAUUCCUCUAUUUUUAGGUUAGUAUCUUUUUAGUCACUAUAUAUUUAGAAAUACCUCAAAACAUCUCUAUUGUUAAAUUAUUGACACUCCUGCCGUUACUUUUUGUUCUUUUUAGCUUGCUUUUACAUAUUACUCUCUCGCAAUAAUGUUUAUUUUUUGGACAUUAAUAAAAAUAAAUAAAUUAUCAAUUUAAUCCCAAAAUAUUAAUGUAGAACAUUCUGCUGAGAAGUUAAUAUAUUUAUGUUUUUAUUAAUGUCCAAAAAAGUUUGUAAUUUAAUUUAUUUUACAAUAUUACUUUUUUUUACAUAUGUGAGCUUUUAGAAAAAUUAGUGUAUAUAUGUGUGUGUGUGUGUGUCAUUUUUAGGUUUAAAUUGAUAAUUUAUUUAUUUUUUAUUAAUGUCCAAAGAAAUUAUUGUAAAAGGGUAAUAUUAUAGAAGUUAAAAAGAAUAAAAAAUAAAAAGGCAGAUGUGUCAAUAGUUUAACUGGUAGUGUCGUUGAGGUGCACUAAAUUUAAAACCUUACCACUAAUAUAAAUAAUUAGUACAGAGCGAGUAAGGAUCGAUCCCACAGAGACUAUGCUAGUUGUAUUUAUUAUCAACUCUAAAGCAAGAUUUAAAAUAAAAUAAUAGUAGUAAUAAUAAUAGUAAUAAUAAUAUAAAUUAAUCUAACUAAAGAAAAUGCCAAUUAUAAAUAAAAGGGGGGAUUUAUGAAUUUUUAACUAAAUAGUAAGAAAUAAAAAAACUAAAAUUACGAACAAAAAUUUAAUAAAAACUCUAAUUAAAGGAGAAAGAAAUAAUAAUGAUAAAAACUUUAGUUAAAGGAUAAUUCGCCACCACCCAAGACAAGAAUAAACCAUGAACAUUAAUUAUAGAAGAACAUAAACAAUCUAAAUUAAAUAAAUUGAAUGAUAGAAAUUAAAAAUUAAUCAUGUGACAUAUUCGGGGUUUUGAAUUCACCCUCAACCAAAUAAAAAUCUAGCCUAACACAAUUGAAUUGGGAAUAAGAUAAUUGACAAAACCAAUCAUGGAGAUUAAUUCAAGCGACUGCCUUUGCUUUAAUUUAAUUCCGACUGCUGAUUUUUUUCUUCUCCUUGCGGCUGCUGAUUUUCCUCUGCCCGAAUUGCGUCUGCCCUCUUCUCUCUCGCUCUCUGGCAGCUCUCCUUUUAUAAUGCUAGUCGACCAAAUUCUUCUCCAACAAUUCUAAAGAAAUCAUUUUUCAAUUCUAAUUGAAAUCCUUUUCCAAUUUAACGCCACCAAAAGCCAUUAAUUCCAUCUUUUGAAAGUCAAUUGCGGGCCCAUUUAAAUUGCUUUCCACUUUUGCAAUGCCAUGCACGUGCACUCCAAUUGCCAAUUGGAAAAAUUAAAUCUUUUAAUUAUUCAACAUUUCUCAAUUGGAUUAAUUGCUUUGAUUUCUUCCACUCGGUUCUAUCAAUUCUUGACUAUAUUUUUGUCUUCCAAUUUAAUCUUUAUUCCUUUUCAAUUUGAAUUUCUUCAUGCUUUGAUUUCUUCCACUCGGUUCUAUCAAUUCUUGACUAUAUUUUUGUCUUCCAAUUUAAUCUUUAUUCCUUUUCAAUUUGAAUUUCUUCAUGCCUUUUUUAUCCACAAUCUCCAAUUAAUUCCCUAUUCAAUAAAAUCAACUAAAAGAACUAGAAUAUUUAAGAUCAAAACAAGAAAAAGAUGGAGAAAUUAAUAACAAAAUAUAUGGAAAAUAUGCACUUAUCAUUAAUUGCAUGGAGUUUUGAUGUAUUCUUAAAAAUAUAAGUUACUAACCUCAAAAUAUAGGGAUUAAAAGAGUUUUUACGUAUUCUUUUCAAUACACUCUGACUUGUAUUCUGUAUGUUUCUGUUCACUGUAGGACCAUUAUAAAGAAAUAUCAACAUCGUUGAUUAUUCUAAACACAUGGAUUGGCAGGUUAGAAUUCCCUCAUGAAAAAUAUGACUACUUUUUGCGUUCUGGUUUGGGUUCAUGGUUCCUUUUCUUCAUUCUUAAUUUUUAUGACUUCCACAAUAAAUUUCGCUAGUUGAAAUAAUAUUAAAUUGUACAACAUACACACACACACACAUAUGUAUAUUGCUUAUUACUUCGGAGUACUUAGGAUAUUUUCUUGUAUGGGUUGAUCUUAACAUAAUUCUAAAGUGUUUUUAGUUACUGCAAGAAAUUGAACGAAUUAAACUAAAAAAAUAAAAGAAAUAAAUAUUAUGUAGUUUUCAUUUUGAGAUAUAUUAUAAUGAAAGGAUCAUCUACUUGUGUUAGCUUUGUUUAGUUUUAAAAAUCUCAUGUCACUUAAAGUCAUGUAUAUUAUUAGCCAUUUAUACUUUCUCUUGUUUUUAUAUUCAUAAUAAUCCUCCAAAUGCACAUUAUUGUAUUUGUCAACAUGCUUCAAGAAAAUAAGGUCAAGGCAACAUGAUUAUAACAACGUGUUAGAGUGUUCUAUUUGCAACAUGAUUAUAACAACGUGCUAGAGUGUUCUAUUUAUUUAAUGUCAAGAAAAGUAGCUGCUAAAUUCUAGAAGCAGCCCAUUUUGGACAAAGAAAAAUCAAAGAGGGCUGCAGCAUCUUUGAAGAAGUAAAAUUGGCGGCACACGGUUUUGACGUUGAAGAAGCCAAAAUGUAAGAAAAAUGGUGGUGUUGUAGCAAAUUUUGACAAGAAAAAUAAAUAAAAUAAUAGCCAAUUUUGGCUAUAAAAAGAGAGCUCCCCAUUUGGUUUUGGCAUCUAAUUUCUUUAUCUCAUUUUCUUCUUCCUUAUAGAGAGCUAAGAAUUGAGAGUAUAGAGUUUUAAUAACUCAUGUGUUUUAAUAACUCUUGUGUUAGUAGUGAUUUGAGAGUUUGAGUUUAUUGGUGUUUGGGUAGUGAGUUAAAAUAUUACAAUACUUGUAAUUGCUUUUCACUAGUAAAAUAUUUUCCUUCUAUUUUCGCCCGUGGACGUGGGCUAAAACUGAACCACAUAAUUUUUUGUGUCCUCUGUGUGUGUUUGUUCUUCAUUUUCCUCCAAUUUCAUUUUAGUUGUGCCCCUGCUUCAACCAUAGAUUUUCUAACACUAAUAUCAAAGCUACUGGUUGUAUUUUUAGAGUCGCAGUAUUAUUUCACAUAUAUAGUAUUCUCGUGAAAUGGUGGGAGCCAAUCCUAACUAAAGUAGUUCAUUGUAAAAAGUGAUGACGGUAAAAUACGAAAUUAAGAAGUUCAGCGAAAAUAAUUUCUCGUUGUAGAAAAUGAAGAUGAAGGUUGUAUUGAGGAAAACUAAUUACUUGGCAGCAAUUAGAGAAAGACCCACGAAUAUAACUGAUGACAAGUGGAAUGAGAUGGACGGCAAUGUAAUUGCUUAUCUACACCUGGCACUUGCAGAUGGGAUGUUAUCUAGUAUGGCAGAGAAAAAGAUAGCUAAGGAAAGAUGGGAUACUCUUACAAAAUUGUACGAGGUCAAGUCACUGCACAACAUGAUCUUCUUAAAGUAGAGAUUUUAUCCUCUUCGAGUAGCGGAAUCUACAUCGGUGACCAACCAUAUCAACACAUUGAAGACUCUAUUUUCACAUAUCAACUCAUCAUUAAUCUGACAAACAACAACCAAGCAGACAGUCUAGCUUUCGAUGAUGUUGCAACCUCCAUAUUAAAUGAGAGCAGGCGGAAAAAUAAGGAAGAUAGGCAAGCAAGUUCGCAACAAGCAGAAGUACUAUCGGUGACAAGAGAGAGACCAACGGAACGUGGUCCCAAUGGGAGUUACAAUCAUGGUAGAUCAAAAUCAAGAAGUAAGAAUAAUGUCAAAUGCUACAAUUGUGGUAAGAAAGGGCAUGUCAAAAAAGAUUAUUGGAACAACCAGAAGAGAUGAGAGGGUAUAGUUCUUGUAUCAUCAAAUGCUCAGGGAUGUGUAGUAAGUACCUUAAAUGAUGGCGAAAUUCUCUACAGCAAGGCAACAACUAUUUCAAAAGACAGAAAACAACUAUAUAAUGUCUGGCUUAUAGAAUUGGGAGCUACCUAACAUAUGAACUCUUGGAGAGAGUUGUUCCACUGUUAAAAUAAAAAUGUUUGAUGGUACAGUUCGCGCAAUUAAGGAUGUACGACACGUCAAUGGCCUAAAUCAAAAUCUAUUAUCCUUAGUACAAAUAGAUAGUCAUGGGUACAAAACUCAUGUGGAAAAUAUGAUCAUGAAGAUAGUUAAGGGCGCACUUGUAUUAAUGAAGGCAGAAAUGAUUGGUGUUAAUUUAUUCAUGCUUAAAGGAAAAACACUACAGAAAGUUGAUGCGUGUGUCGCAUCAAAUGGAGAAGAGUGACGAUGAUGUGACAUUUCAAGCCUAGCCAAAUGUCAGAAUAAGGUUUGAAGAUUUUCUCUGAGCAAAAAUUGCUUCCAGGUCUCAAAUUGGUAAACUUACCAUUUUGGGAGCAUUGUGUUAGAAAUAAGCAGCAUAAAUUGAAGUUAAGCAGAUCUGUUGCUAGAAGUAAAUGUAUUCUAGACUUGGUUCAUUAUGAUAUUUAGGAAUCACCAGAUAUGUCCAUGGGAGGUGCAAAGUACUUGUUGACUUUUAUUGAUGAUUAUUUCAAGAGAUGUUGGGUGUAUGUAAUCAAGAAAACAUCAGAUGUGUUUCUGGUAUUCAAAUGGUACAAAGCGCUGGUAGAACUUGAAUUCAAAAAGAGGAUAAAGUGCUUGAUGACAAAUAACGGUGGAGCGUAUACAAAUGACAAGUUUAUUGCAUAAAAUAAGCAAAAAGAUUUUCAGAAGCAGUUCACAGUGGCAUACACUUCCCAACAUAAUAGUGGCAGAGCGGAUGAACAAACUUUUAUAGAAAUAAUAAGAGAUAUGUUGAGGACUGUUGGUCUACCCAACUUAUUUUGGGCAGAAGCAGCCAAAACUGUUUGUUAUAUAGUAAAUUGGUCGACAUCCACAGCAAUUAGGUUAAAGACAUUGAUGGAGAUGUGGACAAGAAAGCUAGUUGAUUACUCUCACCUACAUAUAUUUGAAUGUCCUGUGUACGUGAUGUACAAUGCCCAAGAAAAAAUAAAGUUGGAUCUAAAAUUUAUAUGGUGUAUCUUCUUGGGGUAUGCUAAUGGAGUAAAUUGUAUUAUCUGUAGGACCCCACUGCCCACAAGAUAGUCAUCAGCAGAGAUGUUAUCUUUAUAGAUGAUCAACUACAAAGAGAGAUAAGGAUGAUAGCACUGUAAAAGAAAAGUCAAAGACUGUGCUGGUAUAUGUUGAAAAUAAUCUGGAAAAAAAGAUUCAGAUUCUUCUGAAGCAACACCAAAGCACGAUAAACAAUAACCAGUUGAGUCCGAGGCUCGAGAAGUUCGUUAGUUAACUCGUGAGAGACGAUCGCCAAUGUGGCACUUAAAUUAUGUCACAAAGAUCAAUGUUGCAUGCCGUCUUCUGAUAGAGGAUAGAGAACCAUAAACUUUCUAUGAAACUUUAAGUAACUCAGAUUUUGCUUUGUGGAUGACAGUAAUGGAGGAAGAAAUUGAGGCUCUACACAAGAAUAAAACAUGGCAACUUGUACUACUACCAUUUGGAACAAAAACCAUUGGAAAUAAAUGGGUCUACAAGGUCAAGCGUGAUGACAAUGAAUAAAUGGAGCGGUAUUGUAAAAGAUUGGUCGUAAAAGAAAAUGCUCAUAAAGAAGGAAUUGACUUCAACGAGAUAUUUUCUCCGGUGGUUCAACUCACAACAGUCAGAUUAAUCUUGGUGAUGUGUGCUACAUUUGACCUAUAUCUAAAGCAGUUAGAUGUGAAAACUGCAUUUCUUCAUGGAGAACUUGAAAAAGAAAUUUAUAUGCUCCAACCCGAAGGUUUUGCUGAAAAGGGCGAAGAGAACUUGGUUUUCAGGUUGAAAAUUUUUCUAUACGGUCUCAAACAAGUGCCAAGGUGUUGGUAUAAGAGAUUUAAUUCCUUUAUCAUGAGCUUGGAUACAACAGACUUAGUUCAAACCAUUGUGCAUAUUACAAGAGGUUUGAAGAUAAUGAUUUCAUCAUUUUGCUAUUGUACGUAGAUGACAUGUUGGUAACAGGCCCCAACAAAGAUCAAGUCUAAGAAUUAAAAGCACAGUUGGCUAGGGAGUUUGAAAUGAAGGACCAGCAAAUAAGAUUCUAGGGAUGCAAAUUUACCGAGACAGAAAUAAUAAGAAGAUUUGGCUUUCUCAGAAGAAUUACUUGAGAAAAUCUUGCGGCACUUCAACAUACAAGAUUGUAAGCCAAUUUAUACCCCACUUCCUAUUACUUUCAAGUUAUCCUCAAAUAUAUGUCCAAGCAAUGAAGCAGAGAGUAAGGAAAUGUCUCGAGUACCAUAUGCAUCAGCAAUGGAAAGUUUAAUGUUCGCUAUGAUAUGUACAAGAAUGGACAUUGCACAAGCAAUAAAAGUAGUUAGUCGACACAUGGAGAAUGCUAGUGGAGAACAUUGGAAAAUUAUGAAGAGGAUUUUGAGAUAUAUCAGAGGAACCUCAGAUGUUGCAUUAUGUUACGGAGGAUCAGAGUUUAUUGUCAGGGGCUAAAUGAAUUCAGAUUUUACAAAAGACCUUGAUAAAAGGAAAUCCACUACUGGCUAUGUGUUUACACUUGCAGAAGGAGCUAUAAGUUGGGUUUCAAAACUACAGACCGUUGCGGUUUUAUCUACAACAGAAGUAGAAUACAUGGCAGCUACACAAGCUUGCAAGGAAACUAUUUGGAUACAAAGAUUAUUGGAGGAGCUCGGACACAAAUAAGAAAUUUUUUUUGUAUUUUGUGACAGUUAGAGUGCCUUGCAAAUUGCAAGAAAUCCAGCCUUUCAUUUCAGGACAAAGCACAAGGGGUACAAUACCACUUUGUUCGAUAAGUAGUGGAAGAUGAAAGUGUGGAUUUGCAGAAAAUUCAUACUAAAGAGAACCUAGCAGAUGUUUUACCAAGCCAAUCAAUGUUGACAAGUUUGUAUGGAGUAGAUUCGCUUGUGACCUAGCAGAGACAUAAGCAAUAUGACAAUUGAAGUGGGAGAAUGUCAAGAAAAUUAGCUGCCAAAUUUUAGAAGCAGCUCAUUUUGAACAAAGAAAAAUCAAAGAGGGCUGCAACAUCUUUGAAGAAGUACAAUUGGUGGCACACGACUUUGACAUUGAAGAAGCUGAAAUGUAAGAAAAAUGGUAGUGCUGCAGAAAAUUUUGAGAAGAAAAAUAAAUAAAUCUUGUGUUAUUAGUGAUUUGAGAGUUUGGGGGUAUUGAGGUUUUGGGUAGUGAGUUAAAAUACCACAAUACUUGUAAUUUAUUUUCACUAGUAAAAUAUUUUUCUUCUGUCUUCGUCCAUCGAUGUAGGCUAAAAACCGAACCAUGUAAUUUUUUGUGUCCUCUAUGUGUGGUUGCUCUUUAUUUUAUUCCAAUUCAUUUUAGCUGUAGUCCUGCUUCAGCCAUCGAUUUUCUAACAUUUCAUUCAUUCAAUCUGUAAAAAUCAUUUCCAUAAAAAUCUAAUCCAUGGAUUGAUGGAUUUGAUUAGAUUAAAAUUUUUUUAAAAUCCACAGUCAAUGAAUUAGAAAUAGAUUUGCUUCUACAAAUUUAUAAAAAUCAGCAAAUUAUAUAUAUAUAUAAAAUUUAAAAAUGUUAUACUAUUAAUAAAUAAAUAGGUUAAAAUUUAGUUAGGGUGGACAUUGACAACAAUUAAUUAUGUAAGCUUUCAAUUUUCAACUUUGGUAUUGAUUUAAUUUUAAAAUUUAAGUUAGUUUUCAUUCAUUGAUCUAAAACAUCAAGAUUUUUUCUUUUGGUGGGCUAAAGUUCGAAACUUUGAAUGGCAUCCUUAAAAAACAAAUGGUUUUUCAGAAGUGGUCGUGACGUGUCAUCACGUCCCAUCUAUCCUACACGGAAGUUGAAACCAAUUACUCCAGCGUUUUCAUAAUUUUUUUAAAGAAAGAAUAGGGAGUAAAGAUGAAAUGGUAUAUGGCUUCAAAAUUAUGCUUCUUUAGGAACGUACGUUGAUUGAUUUAACAGAUGCUGGGUGAUAUAUCGCGUUCCUAAACAAGUACUUAAACUAUUGAUUUAUUUAAUCUUUUUAAAUUUGAAUUUGAUUGGUAAUAAAAUUAUUUUUGUAUUAAAAUAUUUAUUUAAUUAUUUUAUAAAUAGAUAGAAAGAAAUUUUUUUUAAUUGAUAUCGAAUUCACAAAAGUGCAAUGGGAUAUAAAUUAUGUCAAAUCCACAUCAAAUUCUUAGAGUUAUGAAUUAAAUUUGGAUUAAUUUCAUUAAUUCAUGAAUUGGGUGAGAUUGAAAAUUUAUAACGAUUUUACACCUAUUGUCAUUUAUUAGAAUUUUUUCACAACGCGCUUUUGUAGGACGUUGUGAAAUUGAAAGCCCAUUGAAGAGUUUAUAACAACAUUCUUUCGUUUGUUGUCAAAUAUUAAAAUUAUUUUACAACACACUUUCACCAACCGUUGUUAAAUGGAAGUUUUCUGAAAUUUGUACAAAUUAUCACAAUCUACCGAUACAUUAAAAUCCAUUAUCUAUUUAGACAGUAGAUACAUACAUUUGUACUAUAUAGCCCGGAAAUCUGCUCCCACUAACUUUUGAGUUGACAUCUACCUGCCCAGUCUACUUUUUGUUGAUAAUCAUUUUGUAAUUUAUUAAUUUGUUUUCCGCAAAAGUACUUUAUAACUGUAACAAAUAGAAUUUCGAUGUUAGUCCUCAACAUUAAGAUAUUGUUUGCAACUUUGUAUGCCUUUUUUUCCUUAAACUUAGUUUGUAUAUUCUUAUUUCUCCAUAAAACAAGAUUUUAAUGUAAUAAAUAGAACUUUUAUUAGUAGAAUUGAAUUUAUGAAUUUCUUGUUAUUUCUGCGUGCAUUUAUUGUGUAGUUUAUAGAAAGACUCUUUAAAAAAUUUGUAUGCAGGAAAAAAAAAGAUAAAUAAAAAAAGAUUAUACAACAUUCAUCCGAAUGUAUGGAUGAUGUAUGUGUCUUCUGGUUCAAUAUUGACCUCGUUCGCACAGUAUGAUGUACGCCCCCCCACCCAAAAAAAAAAGAAUAAAAUAUCUUUGUACUAUUAAGACUUAAAAAUUAAACGCUUUCAAAACUCAGAAAAAAUGAGUAAGAAAAAUCAAUCACAUGAGCUUCUUCUCUGCCUAUAAUAACCUCGUGUAUCACCACAAACCACAGAAUAAUUUGAGAAUCUUUGCCAAGUAUAACUGUAAGCUAGCUUACACUACAUCUGUAUAUCCAAUGUCUUCUUGCAUUAAUCCCUCAACCUUGGUUACCUCUAUAAAUGGUUUCAAAUGUCUUCCUCUUGCAACAAAUAAAGCAGCCAUCAGAAUCAUGGCCAAAAAUAAGCCAGUCCAAUGCCUUGUCAGCGCCAAAUAUGAUAAUUUGACAGUUGAUAGGAGAUCAGCAAACUACCAACCUUCAAUUUGGGACCAUGAUUUUUUGCAGUCAUUGAAUAGCAACUAUACGGUAUUCAGUAUUAUUAUUAUUAUUAUUAUUAAUUUCCUUUGUUCAUUUCAAAUUGGCACCAUGAAUAACUAAAAACUAAAUGCUGUGCAUGUACAGGAUCAAACAUACAGAAGACGAGCAGAAGAGCUGAAGGGAAAAGUGAAGACAGCGAUUAAGGAUGUAACCGAGCCUCUGGAUCAGUUGGAGCUGAUUGAUAAUUUGCAAAGACUUGGAUUGGCUUAUCAUUUUGAGCCUGAGAUUCGGAACAUAUUGCGUAAUAUCCACAACCAUAAUAAAGAUUAUAAUUGGAGAAAAGAAAAUCUGUAUGCAACCUCCCUUGAAUUCAGACUACUUAGACAACAUGGCUAUCCUGUUUCUCAAGGUACCUUUCAUUAGUUCGCUUACUUUGUCAUGCACAUGCAAGAUCCGAAUACUUGAAUCGAUCUCUCUGUUUAUCUUAUUCAUUCCUUUUAAAUGUAAAAAAGUGGACAAAACCCAAAUCAAUUUUUUAACUCUCUAUCUCCUGAGAAAUUCGAACUCGACAAGGCCGCUGGGGACACUUAAAUCAUUCUCUAAUUAACAUAUAUGUGCAAAAGUUUUGAUGAAUAUAAUUUUUUUUUUUCGGUUGAGCACUGCAGAGGUUUUCAGUGGUUUUAAAGACGACAAGGGAGGCUUCAUUUGUGAUGAUUUCAAGGGAAUACUGAGCUUGCAUGAAGCCUCGUAUUACAGCUUAGAAGGAGAAAGCAUCAUGGAGGAGGCCUGGCAAUUCACCAGUAAGCAUCUUAAAGAAANNNNNNNNNNNNNNNNNNNNNNNNNNNNNNNNNNNNNNNNNNNNNNNNNNNNNNNNNNNNNNNNNNNNNNNNNNNNNNNNNNNNNNNNNNNNNNNNNNNNNNNNNNNNNNNNNNNNNNNNNNNNNNNNNNNNNNNNNNNNNNNNNNNNNNNNNNNNNNNNNNNNNNNNNNNNNNNNNNNNNNNNNNNNNNNNNNNNNNNNNNNNNNNNNNNNNNNNNNNNNNNNNNNNNNNNNNNNNNNNNNNNNNNNNNNNNNNNNNNNNNNNNNNNNNNNNNNNNNNNNNNNNNNNNNNNNNNNNNNNNNNNNNNNNNNNNNNNNNNNNNNNNNNNNNNNNNNNNNNNNNNNNNNNNNNNNNNNNNNNNNNNNNNNNNNNNNNNNNNNNNNNNNNNNNNNNNNNNNNNNNNNNNNNNNNNNNNNNNNNNNNNNNNNNNNNNNNNNNNNNNNNNNNNNNNNNNNNNNNNNNNNNNNNNNNNNNNNNNNNNNNNNNNNNNNNNNNNNNNNNNNNNNNNNNNNNNNNNNNNNNNNNNNNNNNNNNNNNNNNNNNNNNNNNNNNNNNNNNNNNNNNNNNNNNNNNNNNNNNNNNNNNNNNNNNNNNNNNNNNNNNNNNNNNNNNNNNNNNNNNNNNNNNNNNNNNNNNNNNNAAGAUUAUAAUUGGAGAAAAGAAAAUCUGUAUGCAACCUCCCUUGAAUUCAGACUACUUAGACAACAUGGCUAUCCUGUUUCUCAAGGUACAUUUCAUUAAUUCGCUUCCUUCUUCAUGCACAUGCAUGAUCUGAAUACUUGAAUCGAUCUCUUUGUUUUUUUUUUAUUAUUUAAAUGUAAAGAAAUGGACGAAACCCAAAUCAGUUUUAUAUCUCUCUAUCUCCUGAGAAUUCGAACUCGACAAGGGCGCCGCUAGGGAUACUUCAAUCGUUCUCUAAUUAACAUAUAUGUGCAAAAGUUUUGAUGAAUAUAAUUUUUUUUUUUCGGUUGAGCACUGCAGAGGUUUUCAGUGGUUUUAAAGACGACAAGGGAGGCUUCAUUUGUGAUGAUUUCAAGGGAAUACUGAGCUUGCAUGAAGCCUCGUAUUACAGCUUAGAAGGAGAAAGCAUCAUGGAGGAGGCCUGGCAAUUCACCAGUAAGCAUCUUAAAGAAACGAUGAUCAUCAGCAACAGCAAGGAAGAGUAUGUAUUUGUAGCAGAACAAGCGAAGCGUGCGCUGGAGCUCCCUCUGCAUUGGAAAGUGCCUAUGUUAGAGGCAAGGUGGUUCAUACACGUUUAUGAGAAAAGAGAGGACAAGAACCACCUUUUACUUGAGCUCGCUAAGUUGGAGUUUAACACUUUGCAGGCAAUUUACCAGGAAGAACUUAAAGACAUUUCAGGGUAUCUAUGCCUUGAUUGCAUAACUCAUAUAUAUUCCAAAGAUUUGAUUUUAUCGAAUAGAUAACUUGUACUAUUUAAUCAUAUGUAUAUUAAAUUAUUCUCAAGUGCAGACUCCGCCUUUUACAACAGUAUAAAGGCGCCAGCCUACACUUUAUAUAAUUGUAUAUUAAAUUAUGCCAAACGUUUGCAUUAAAGAAUCUCGAACUAGAAGAUGACUCUAUAUGUAAAUGCAUUGUAAAGCCACAAGUCAUGUGCUUUAUAAAAAGAGAUGCUUGUAUCAGAGAAAUAUUCUUCAGAAUUCCAGACAGAAAGCUGAUUCUAUAUAUACAGAUAUAUAAAACAUUUGUCGUAAUAUUCGUUUUAAUUUUCCUAUGAAGGUGGUGGAAGGAUACAGCCCUUGGAGAGAAAUUGAGCUUUGCGAGGAACAGGUUGGUAGCGUCCUUCUUAUGGAGCAUGGGGAUCGCGUUUGAGCCUCAAUUCGCCUACUGCAGGAGAGUGCUCACAAUCUCGAUAGCCCUAAUUACAGUGAUUGAUGACAUUUAUGAUGUCUAUGGAACAUUGGAUGAACUUGAGAUAUUCACUGAUGCUGUUGCGAGGUUUGUUGGCAAAUUAACAAUUCAACUGCUACUUAGCUGCAUGGUACUUCUCAAUUUAAUAGACCGUUUAUGUGAUUUUUUUUUUUUUUCUGCAGGUGGGACAUCAAUUAUGCUUUGAAGCACCUUCCGGGAUAUAUGAAAAUGUGUUUUCUUGCGCUUUACAACUUUGUUAAUGAAUUUGCUUAUUACGUUCUCAAACAACAGGAUUUUGAUAUGCUUCUGAGCAUAAAAAAUGCAGUACGUGAAAUAUUAAUUUGACCUCUCUCCCUGUUCCUUUCCUCUGAUUUAUCCUUUUUAAAUUACGAUGUUCUUUUUUUCUCAAAAAUUAUAAACCGUAACUAGUUGUAUAUUUUCUGUGCCAUGUGCAUCAGUGGCUUGGCUUAAUACAAGCCUACUUGGUGGAGGCGAAAUGGUACCAUAGCAAGUACACACCGAAACUGGAAGAAUACUUGGAAAAUGGAUUGGUGUCAAUAACGGGCCCUUUAAUUAUAGCGAUUUCAUAUCUUUCUGGUACAAAUCCAAUCAUUAAGAAGGAACUGGAAUUUCUAGAAAGUAAUCCAGAUAUAGUUCACUGGUCAUCCAAGAUUUUCCGUCUGCAAGAUGAUUUGGGAACUUCAUCGGUAUGUCUUUUUUUAUUUAUUUUUUUUAAGACGACAGAAAUUGAAUUGAUCCUCUAUAUAUGAAUUGAUUGUAUUUUUUUUUUCCCCGAUAAUCAUCAGGACGAGAUACAGAGAGGGGAUGUACCGAAAUCAAUCCAGUGUUACAUGCAUGAAACUGGUGCCUCGGAGGAAGUUGCUCGUGAACACAUCAAGGAUAUGAUGAGACAGAUGUGGAAGAAGGUGAAUGCAUACACAGCGGAUAAAGACUCUCCCUUGACUCGAACAACUACUGAGUUCCUCUUGAAUCUUGUGAGAAUGUCCCAUUUUAUGUAUCUACAUGGAGAUGGGCAUGGUGUUCAAAACCAAGAGACUAUCGAUGUCGGUUUUACAUUGCUUUUUCAGCCCAUUCCCUUGGAGGACAAAGACAUGGCUUUCACAGCAUCUCCUGGCACCAAAGGCUGAUGAUGAAUUAUAAUGCACGAUGCGUUGCGAAUUCCCAGAGAGUGCAGUUUCAGUUGAUGUUGGCCUCCGCUUUUCUUUCUUCUGAGGGAUCUCUUUUCGAUAAUAAAAUAAAUUCCCUCAUUCAUCAAGGUUUAUAAAUGAAAAAGAAAUGAUAUAUACAUAUAUGUUACUUUUAUUGAGAAUAAAAGUCUUCAGGAUAUGCAAAUACUUAAGUCAGGCUCAUUCUAAUUCCUACAAGAUAAUUAUUUGCUAGCUAAAACAUGAGAACGACUGAAUUUGUUCUGCAUGCAGUUAUACUUGAUUAUUCAAGGAUGGUUCAUAGCAUUUUUAGCACAAGGGAUACUUUCAGUAUCCAUGCAUACGGCAAAUCAUACUCAUGAAAAAUGGCAAUGUGCAGCUAACAGUGACAAACGCAAUCCGCAGUCUGUUAAAUGAGGAUAGAAAUAAGAGCGGUGGCAUUUAAAGAAAAAAGUUACAAGAAUCAAAAAGUAAAAAUAACCAAUUAAAAAAAAAUGAGUUCCUAAUGUGAGGAAAGAUUGAAAUGGAGAAAAACCCUAAUCCACCUAUGGCUGACGACCGUUCCACAAAGAAAGCAGAUUUAAGGCUCAAGGGGAAGAUGGUGACAAUCCUCAGCCUCCUUCCUUUCGUGAUAAACUGAUGUCAACACAAAGGGUGGAUGAAGGAGUGUUUUUUGAUAGCGGGGAAUAUUUGGCAGUUGAACCGGAAGAUGUGGUUUUUGAGUGUGCAGACAAUUUUCACUCCAUUUCUUUCUCACAGAAAAGUACAUGCUCAACUAAUGAAACCAUGGCAAUACACGGUGGUGGUCAAGCUUUUGGGUCGUCGCAUAGGUUACCGGACGCUGUGCAACCGCUUGGAAACCAUCUGGAGCUCGACCCAAGGGUUUUCUGUAAUUGACCUUGAGAAUGAUUAUUAUCUUGUUCGUUUCAGAACAGAGAGGGAUGUGGAGUUCGCUUUGACGCAAGGCCCUUAGGCUCCGUUUGGUACAACUUAUUAAAUAGAGCUUAUAACAGUAGAGUUUAUAGCAGUAGAGCUUAUACCAAUAGAGCUUUUGGACAAAAAGUCAUUGGGUGUUUGGUUGUCAAUAAAAAAAGUACUUUUGAAUCAUUAAAUUGUGUGAUAUUUUUUAUAUUAUAUAAUUUGUGGAAAAGCUCCCUAACUUCUACUCCCAAAAUCUCAAAUUUUGGGCUUUUGCUAGUAGAGGUAAAUUAGCUUAUUUAAGCUAAAAAAACUCUACUAAAAAAAUAACCAAACACCAUAAAAAUUUUAAAAAAGUGCUUAUGCGAUUAAAUAAGCACUUAUGCCUCUUAAAUAAGCCAUACCAAAUAGGCACUUAGACUAUUCUGGGGCACUAUCUAACAGUGAAGCCAUGGACUCCCCAUUUUGAUAUUUCGGCAGCAGUGAUUGAAUAUGUUAUAGCCUGGAUCUGCUUACCAGGCAUGGCCCUACAUUACUACAAUAAGAAAAUUCUCCGAAUGUUGGGACAAAUUUUCGGGAGAGUUUUUAAAACUGAUUACAACACUGAAUCCGCAUCCAGAGACAAAUUUGGUCGUCUUGCUGUUGAAAUUGAUCCAAACAAGCCCUUAAUUUCUCAAUUUUUUCUGGAUGGCAAGCUACAAAAGGUGGAAUAUGAAGGACUCCCUAAUACUUCCUUCCUAUGUGGUAAAUAUGGCCAUAGCAAGGACAUCUGCCCUAAUCGAACGGAAGAAGAUCAUGCCUUAGGAUUCCAGCCACAUUUGGACGGAGCUAAUGAAUCUGUUGAAAUGAACUCAAACUUGGUAAACGAUUUGUCGUUUAGAGGUUUAAAAAGUCAAGUGACAUGUUGUUUCAAUUGGUCAUGGAUCCAGAACCGACAACUUCGUGCUGUCGUCCAAGAUCAUUAAACUCUCACGUGAUUAACAUAAACUUGUUUUAAAGCUUAAACGACAUGCCUUAUCGUCGUUUAAGGCAGGCUUUAAGUUGCUUGUGGUCAAGAAGUUAAGUUUGUUAGUUUUGGAGGGAAUCUUUUGGAUCUGUAACGCCAGUAGCAGCUGAUAUAUAUGUUGGUUAUGAUUUCAUCUAGAUCUAUCGAAUUGAGAGUGAUAAGGAAGCCUUAGAGAGAGUGGAACUUUUCUGAGUGUUCUCUAUAUUGGGCUUAUCAUCUCUGUAACCUUUGAAGCUUAAUAAAGUGGCUCCCUGAGUUUAUUUUCCCCGAUGAAUGUAGGCAAUGUAACAAGUGCUGAAUCACUUAAAUUGUUUUGUGUUUUUGAUUCUUUGUGUUGUUAUUCUUUGAUCUGGUGAGUGUUACGACUUGUGUUGAUUUGUUUCUUAAUCUUGGAGUCCUAACUAGAUCUAGGGGGCAAGAUCAAUUCGAUAUCAAAGGGUUUGUUUCACAACAGAAUCAUCGGUGCAGGACGUCAGGGAGGGAUAUGGGAAUUUGCCUAGGUUUGGUGGAACACCCUAAAAAUUACCCAUGAAAACACAAGGGUAAAAUUGGAAUGAAACCUCAUAUCAUUUAUUUUUAUUAAUAAAUCUCAAGAUAGACAAUCAUUAUUCAUACUCCAACUGAAUCCUUAUAUAAAACAUCUGAAAUAAAGUCUCCAAAGAAAAAUCUCUAAUCCAAAAUAAAAAGUUCAGCCAAAUUUAAUCUUUAAAGCAACUCUAAAGAUCCACUAAGAAAAAUUCUUCAUCUAAGCACCUAAGCCACAUUUCUAAUCAAAUCUGCAAAAUAUUGGAGAUGAGGAGUGAGCUGUCAACUCGGUAAGCAAAUCCAUGCACAAUAUUUGAAAACCUUUGUCAUAUAUCUUUAAACAUUUUAUAACAACAUCUUCAUUUAGCAUAAGAGGUGGAUUCAUGUAAAAGUAUUAAAAACAUUAAAACAUUCAUAAAAAAGAUUAAAACAUAAAUAUUUGGUAGCUUAUGCCUCGUAGUCAUCAUCAUUCAUCAUUCAUCAUUCGUCAGUUAGGGUGUUAUACCCCGUAUUGUUCCUCAUUCAGGGUACUAUACCCCGCAUUGUUCAUAAUAUCCUUGUGCACAAGAUCAUCACCAUACCAGCAAGCUGGCCAUAACAUUACAUAACAUCAUAACAUUUGUAUUGUAUACAUUACUACGGACUAUGAGCUAAAACAUUUUUUAAUCCACCUUACAUCCUUUCAUAAAUAGCAUUUAAAGUCUUCUAAAACAUUUAAGAACCUUUCUUUGAUCAUUUAAUUCUUUUAGAAAAUUCUUUAAGAAAACAUUUUGUUUAAGAAAACUAAUUUCUUAAGAAAAAUUUAUUUUAAAACACAUUUUUAUAAAUUCAUUUAAAAGUGUUUUUAUUUUACAAAAUUCAUUUAAAUAUUUUAGAAAUCAAUUUUUCUAAAAAUCUCCAUUUAAACAUAAUUCUUAUAACAUAAAUUGCAUUUAUUAUAAAGCACAUCAUGCGUGAAUCUACUUACCUCAAUCCGCAGCAAUCAACCCAAUACCUUAAGAACAAACCAACGAGCUCACCCACAUCCUAUAAUCAUAAUAAAAAUAUCUUUAUCAAUAUAAUCUCUAACCUUAAACAUAAUUUCAAUCAUCCUUAAUUCAUAGGCACUUAUACUAGCUCAAUACUUAUUCAUAUUCUAGACAUAAGUAUGAGUAUCUUGCACAUGCUGAUUUUUAAUAACCUAUACACAUGUCGGAAAAUCAUGAAAAUUUACAGAGGCACUGUGAACAUGCAUAACAUUGCAUACAAUAUUUCACAAAGAUCAGCACAAGUCAAAAUCAAGUCAGAAUAUUGACCUUUCACCAAAGUAACAAAAUUGUCCAGCAUUGACCAAAGCAAACCUUUACCACUUAGGAAAUUCAUAAAAUAUUCUUUAGUAAUUGAAAUAAUAUGUUUCUUUUUUUCUAAUUACAGAAGACACAUUCAGAAAGCAUAUAAUUAAAAUUCAUAAUUUUUGCAUAUAAUUAAAAUUCAUAAAAUUUGGACUCCUGAAACUAUUUUAAAAUGUUUUAUUUUCCGAGAACAUUUAACCCGUCCAGAAAAUUCCAGAUUUGAAAACAGAAUUUCAAAAAUUCGUAUCUUUUAUUUUACAUGCCCAAAAAUAGUGAUUCCAGUUUUUAAAGACAGAGGAAAGAUUGAAAUUUCAUUGUAAAAUCCUAACAUGGCAUGUAAUAUUCAUAAAUUAGCCCAACUGUUACACGUCUCAGCUUCUGCAAUUCUGGAAAACAGUUUCCAGAUUUGCAGCAGCCACAUGUUACGAUUUUUAAUAAUUUAACCAUAAAGAAAAAAACUACGAAAUUAAACAUGUAAGCAUAGGAGACAUAGAUCUGUUGAUACAAAAAUCGCCAUAAUUUUUAAGGAUGUGUAACCUUACAGAAAAAUUUCCAGAAUUGAGAACCACUGCUGAAAAUCGGAAUUUUCCAGCACCAGUAACCCAACUUCGAAAACCCAUAACAAUUUGCAUACUCAGACGAUUUCAACACAAAACCUAUCAAUGGAAAGCUUAGGAUGUCUAGUUCCAUGAUAUUUAAGCAUAUUCACGUGAUUCUAAGUGAAGAAAACAAUUUCAAGCAAGGAAUAGAGACUGUUCAUAUCAUCACAACAUUACAAAUACACAUAUAUUAUCCAAAUCAUACUACAAGUAAUUAAAGGCAAACAAUUCAUAAAAAUAAAUCAUAUAAGUCAAAGAAAUACUUAAUACCUUAAGGCAAACACUAAGAAAAGAAGUUAUAAAACUUUCUUUUCCUGCUCCAAAGACUUAUGUUUCUUUUUUUUUUUAAGGGUUUGUAAGGGUGUAAAAAAAUAAAAGACGACUUCUUAGCACAGGAGAUUGGAGACCGAUCAAAUUGGCUUGCAAUGGUACCCCUCUGACACAUUUGUUUUUUUGCUGAUGACCUAUUGUUGCUUGCUGAGGCGGCAUCUGGGCAAGCCAGGGUAAUUAACACAGUCUUUGAGAAUUUUUGUAAUAGCUCUGAGGCGAAGGUUAAUAAGACCAAAACUCAAGUAUUUUUUUCAAAGAACAUUAGUGAGAAGGAGAGGAACCGUAUUGGGAAAAUGCUUGGUUUCACUAUUACUAAAGAUCUUGGCAAGUAUCUUGGCAUGCCGCUUCUUCACUCCCGGGUUUCUAAGAGUACUUACUAAGAUAUUCUUGAUAAAAUGGAACAAAGGCUCUCUGGAUGGAAUGUUUCCCACUUAUCCUUGGCUCGCCGGAUUACGAUAGCCCAAUCUAUUUUGCAAGCUCUCCCUAUUUAUGCAAUGCAGUCAACCGACCUUCCUGCCGGGAUAAAACUGAAGAUAGACCAAGCAUGCAAGCGUUUCAUAUGGAGUGGUACUGUAACUUCUCAAAAACUAAGUAUGGUAAGUUGGAAUAAUAUUUGUCAGCAUAAAAUUAAUGGCGGUUUAGGCUUCAAAAGUCUGGAUGGGAUGAAUAAGUCCUUUCUCAUGAAGGUUGGUUGGGGUAUUCUUUCAUCUCCUUCAAGUCUAUGGUCUCAGGUUUUGUCAACUAAAUAUGGGGUGGAUUUAUCUGUCCUUCCUACUUAAUUGCCGUGUAGAAAUGGCUCCCACUUGUGGUAGUCGAUUGGGAAGGUUUGGACUGACGUUCUCUCAGGUGUUGCUUGGAAUAUAGGUGAUGGCACUAAAGUCUGAUUUUGGUUUGAUCGUUGGGUGAUAAAAGAAAAACCUCUGAUUUCUGAAGCUCUUUGUCCGAUACCCAAUGACAUAAUCUACAUUGUAGUGGCUAAUUUCAUAGAUAGUAAUAGUAGUUAGUGGUGGGAGCUGUUUCAACGUUAUCUACCUAAUAACAUUAUUCUGCAGAUAGCCUCUUGUGUUCUCCCUUUAGCUCAGUGUGGAAAUGACUGCUUUUAUUGGGUGAACUCUAAAAAUGGAGAUUUUUUCGGUUAAAUCCGCCUACCAUGCCAUUAGUUCCCAACGGUAUCAAGCGGAAGACAGAAUUUGGAACUUGGUGUGGCAUUGGCAGGGGCCCCAUAAUAUGAUCGCAGUGGUGUGGGAUAUCGUGAUGAUCGUUCUAGGAGUGUCCAGCAGACUUCUUGCCCUUUAUGUGGCAGGAAUCAUUAGAGCUAGUGUCGUGUUGGAGAUAGAGUUUGUUAUUUGUGUGGUCAGUUUGGACACAUCAGGAGAUUCUGCCCUACUUUAUCUAAGGGUGAUAGCUCUGCCGGAGGGACAGCCUCACGGUAUCGGCCUUAUUCUGGCCAGACUCAGGGUCAGAAAGGAGUUCAGAUAGGAGGUUCUACAUCUACCUUUAGGAGUCAGACGACUGCUCUAGGUCAGAGAGGUUAGCCUGGUCGACCUCAUACUCAGGCUCGAGUUUUUUCUUUGACGCAGCAGGAGGCACGUGCUGCACCAGAAGUUAUUAUAGGUAUAUUAUCUAUCCUUGGCCGCGAGGCUCAAAUUCUUGUUGAUCCUGGAUCCACACACUCUUUUAUUUCUCGUACUUUUGCUAUGCACAUAGCGCGAGAGCCCGAACUGCUAGAUUGUGGUUUAGUUGUUCGUACACCUACUGGAGAGUCAUUACUUACUGAGAGUGUUUAUCGAGAUUGUAUGAUGGAAUAGGUGAACAUGAAUUUGAGGCGAGUUUGAUUUCCUUAGACAUUCAUGACUUUGAUGCUAUUUUGGGCAUGGAUUGGCUUAAAUCUCAUUAUGCUACGGUGGAUUGUUUCAAAAAGGAAGUUGUGUUUAAAGAGUCAGGGAAAACUAAAGUGAAAUUCUGUGGAGAGCACAAAGUUCUACCUUCAUGUGUUAUAUCUUCCAUUAGUGCAAGACGAUUGCUAAGAAAAGGAUGCUCAACUUAUUCAGCUAAUGUGAUAGAUACAGAAGCUCGAGAAUUGAGAUUAGAGGAUAUUGCAGUAGUCAAAGAAUUUCCAGAUGAACUUCUUGGGAUGCCACAUAACAGGGAAGUCGAGUUUUCUAUUGAUUUAGUCCCUGGAACAUCUCCUAUAUCUAUGGCACCAUACAUGAGGGCUCUAGCAGAAUUGAAGGAACUAAAGGUUCAAUUGCAAGAGUUGGUGGAGAAAGGGUUUAUUAGACCUAGUGUGUCCCCGUGGGGAGCUCCAGUCUUGUUUGUUAAGAAAAAGGAUGGGACUUUUAUACUCUGCAUCGACUACAGGCAAUUGAAAAAAGUUACGGUACACAAUAAGUAUCCACUUCCGCAUAUUGAUGACUUGUUUGAUCAACUCCAGGAGGCGAAGGUGUUUUCUAAGAUCAAUUUGCGCUCGGGUUACCAUCAGCUUAGAAUUAAAGAUGUCGACGUUCCUAAAACAACAUUUAAAACCCGUUAUGGGCACUAUGAGUUCUUGGUGAUGCCAUUCAGAUUGACAAAUGCUCCAGCAGCCUUUAUGGAUAUCAUGAAUAAGGUAUUUCGUCCGUACUUGGAUCGGUUUGUGAUUGUAUUCAUUGAUGAUAUCUUGGUGUAUUCCUGAAGCGAGGAGGUGUAUGCAGAGCAUUUGCGGACUAUUUUGCAGACUUUGAGAGAGAAGUAAUUAUAUGCCAAGUUCAGCAAAUGCGAGUUCUGGUUGGAUAGAGUAGUAUUUUUUGGCCAUGUGAUAUCAGCAGAAGGUAUUUAUGUUGAUUCUCAAAAGAUUGAAGUAGCUGUGAAAUGGGAACGGCCUACAAAUGUCACAGAGGUUUGGAGUUUUCUUGGAUUGGCUGGUUAUUAUCGUCGAUUUGUGGAGGGAUUCUCUAAGAUUGCUACUCCUCUGACAUAGUUAACCAAAAAGAAUGCUAAGCUCCAGUCGGAUGAUAACUAUGAGAAGAGUUUUCAAGAACUUAAGACAUGUUUAACCUCAGCACCAGUUCUUACACUUUCAUCUGGUAAUGAAGGAUUUGUGGUUUAAAGUGAUACCUCUAAGGAGGGAUUGGGUUGUGUGUUGAUGCAGCAUGUGAAAGUGGUGGCUUAUGCUUCUAGACAACUUAAAAAGCAUGACCUAGAACUAGCAGCAGUGGUGUUUGCACUCAAGACAUGGAGGCAUUACUUAUAUGGGGCAACAUGUUAGAUUUUCACUAAUCAUAAAAGUCUGAAGUAUUUGUUUACUCAGAAGGAAUUGAAUUUGAGACAGAGGAGAUGGAUUGAGCUAAUUAAGGACUACGAUGCACUAUUGAUUAUCAUCUGGGCAAAGCAAAUGUGGUAGCUGAUGCACUAAGUAGAAAGUCUUCUAGCUCUAUAGUUCACUUGCAAGUGAAAUAUAUGCCUCUGCUGAUCGAGUUCAGAUCUUUGGGAGUCGAGUUAAACGCUGACGAUUGUGGAACUUUGAUAGCUAAUUUUUGAGUUAGGCCGACUUUGAUUAAUAAAGUUCACCAGAUGCAAGCUCAGGACCUAUUGUUAAUGAAGUUGAAAGAGGAUGUGCAAAAAUGUUUACGAACUGAUUUUACGGUGAGAGGCGACAAAGUCUUAGUCAUGGGUAAUAGACUCGAUGUACCUAAUAUUAAAACUAUGAAAGAAGAGAUUAUGGAAGAAGCUCACUGUUCAACAUUUGCGAUGCAUCUUGGUAGUACGAAGAUGUACCACACCCUGAGAGAUCAUUACUGGUGGCAGGGCAUGAAGAGAGAGAUAACAGAAUUUGUUUCUCGAUGUUUAGUCUGUCAGCAGAUUAAAGCUGAACACCAGAGGCCUGUAGGGUGUUAUUAGCCGCUUCCUAUUCCUUAGUGGAAGUAGGAGCACAUCACUAUGAAUUUUGUAGCAGGACUUCCACGUACUCUGAAAGGACAUGAUCGUGUUUGGGUGGUUGUUGAUCGACUUACAAAAUCUGCUCACUUCUUACCAUUCAAAAUCACCUACUCGAUGGACAAAUUGGGGAGUAUUUAUGUGGCUGAGAUAGUUUGACUUCACGGAGUACCUGUGUCCAUAGUCUCAAAUAGAGAUUCCUGGUUUACUUCUAAGUUUUGGACCAGUUUGCAAAAUACUUUAGGUACCAAGUUGAACUUCAGUACAACUUUUCAUUCACAGACUGAUGGACAGUCAGAGUGCACUAUUCAAACUCUGGAGGAUAUGUUGCGAGCUUGUGUUAUGGAGUUUAAAGGUAAUUGAGAUAAUUAUUUACUUCUGAUGGAGUUUGCUUACAACAAUAACUAUCAAGCUAGUAUCGAGAUGGCACCAUAUGAGGCUUUGUAUGGUAGAAAAUGCAGGACUCCAGUAUGUUAGGAUGAGGUUGGUGAGCGGAGGUUACUCGGUCCAGAACUUGUCCAGGAUACUAACGAGAAGAUACAAUUGAUCCGGGAUAGAUUAAAGGUGGCCCAAGAUAGACAAAAGAGCUAUGCAGACAAGCGUAGGGGGGAACUUGAAUUCCAAGUUUGUGAUAGAGUUUUCAUACGGAUAUCUCCUUGGAAAGGGGUGCUUUGAUUUGGGAAACGUGGGAAGCUAAGCCUAGGUUACAUUGGGCCAUAUGAGAUCAUUGAGCGCAUCGGUCCGUUAGUUUAUCGAUUAGCUCUACCACCCGAGUUAUCCAGAAUCCACGAUGUGUUUCACGUCUCAAUGCCCCAUAAGUACAUAUAUGACCCGAGUCAUGUGUUAUCAAAGCAACUAAUUCAGUUGAAGGAAGAUUUAACUUACGAAGAGGAACCAAUGGAGAUACUGGAAGAGAAACACCAAGUUCUACAUUCUAAGACCAUUCCUCUAGUAAAAGUACGGUGGAGGAAUCAUACAAAGGAAGAGGCUACCUGGAAACAUGAGGACUUAAUGCGAGCUCAAUAUCCCCAUAUUUUCUUAUUAGGUACAUAAAUUUCGAGGAUGAAAUUUUUAUAAGAGGGGAUGAUUGCAACAAAUGUGAAUUAAAAAUGAAUAAGUAUGAGGUGGUAAAGAAGUUAGUAAAAACAAAAGAAUAAGCUGGAAACAGAGGAAACAUAUGCACGUGUAACAGAGAGUGAGAGAGAAGGUGCCAAACCGACCCAACUACAGACCCACCUUGACCCGGCCAUAUCUCCUAUUUCCGGCCACCGUUUCGGCCGAGUUUAGUACCAAUCUGAAAACCCGCGACUGUUUCGUUUUGUUCCGCCAGGAUUUUCACCGGUUUUGGGUGACACGACCAGUUGGAUUUUGUUCCUCAUGACUCCCUCUUCCAUUUUCAACUGUCCAUAGCCACUGAAAGUCACUGUUUUGCCACUGGUCAAUUAUUGGAAUUCACGGCUAUUGAGCUAGAUUCCGGCCUCGUUGCCGUGCGUUGGAGCUCACUGCUGGUACCAUUGAACUCAACGUGAUUGGAACUUUCAGAAUUGAGCUUCCCGGCCAGCGUUGACCAAACUCCGGUGACCGUUGACCGGCAAGGGCAUUUCAGUAAUUUCACACGCCGAGGGAAAUUUUGUAAUUUCUGAGCCUAUGGAUAUUUUAGUAAUUCCUAGAAUUGAGGAUUGGGUGUAAUUACGAUUCCGAGGUUAAUUCGGUGAUUUACAAUUUCUGAGUAUUUUAAUGAUUUACGGACUCGAGGGCAUUUUAGUAAUUUUAUCGACAUGGGAGUUGUAAAUUAUGGAUAGAUGUUCGUUUCGAGUGUAUUGCAUAAAUUAUGUCGUUUCCUUGAUUUAAGAGGAUCCGCGAGCGAUAAUCAGUCCACGGACAUUGACGAUAACCAAGCGCGAACACUGCACUGUGAGUGGAAUAUGCAAAACCUAUUUUCGUAGUUAAUUAUGAUAGUAAAAUAUGUUUGCGAAAUAAGUAUUUUUAAUGUUCUGAUUUAAUGAUUUCCUCGAAAUGGAUUUUAUACAUGCAUUGAUAUUAUUUUAAAAUGUUUGGUCAAUGAUUUUCCGUGUCGACUUUGAAUGAAAUAUGAUAGUAUUUUAAAGAUGAGAAAAGUGGAUUUAGAUGUGAUAAUGAAAAGAAAUGUAUGAUUUAAAGUAUGAUUAGAAUAUACAUGAAUAUAAGUAUAGAGAUUGUUUUUAAAAUCAUUCGACAGUACCCUUCCCCUCCAGAUACAGUGAUACAGAUGAGAUAAGAUGAGAGGCCUUUAGAGUCUGUCUGAGCACACAUAGAGGCUUUGGGCUGUGUGUUUGGGUGUUUCUGCCUUUUGGGGGCAUAUGCAUACGGUAUGAUGAUUACAGAGAUACAAAUAUGAGAUACAGACAGAUAUUGAGAUACAGAUGAUAAAUAUGAGAUACAAGCCUUUGGGGCCCGUCUGAGUACACACAGAGGCUUUGGGCCGUGUGCUUGGCGCUUUUGUCCUUUAGGGACUGGAUUAUGCAUGCACAGAUAUGAUGAGUUAUGAGAUGAUACUUCCCUAUCUAUCCGUGUAGCUAAGGAGCGUGACGGUACCCAGAUACGUCAUUACCCGUCCGUUGAGGUCCGGAUAUGAUGAGAUUAUUUCCCUGGGCACUUGUUUGGUGAUGAUUUUCAUUCUUGUGUAUUCUAUAUGAUAUUGUGAUAUGAUUUCCAUGAUUAUUACUGUUGUGGAAUUUCUCAAGAUCCACUGUUGUUAAACAACCAAGCUGAGCUAUCGAACCCAAUCGAUCAAGAUCAACAUUUUUUUUACCAAGAAAGUUAACUAGCUCAUUGCAAGUAAUAACCAGAAAAGAAAGAAGAUGAACAAGAAAACAAUGCACACAGUAUAACGUGGUUCAGUACCAAAGUACCUACAUCCACGACCAAAUAAACCCUUCUGGGCUUGAAGCUUUUAUUUAACAAAGUGUUUACAAUGAGAGUAUUGAUGACAAAGAUUAAAUCUCUCCUACAGAGAAUUUUCUAUCUCUCACCCUAGCUCUCUCAAAAUCGUGACUUAACCAUCCAUCUGAUCAGCCCUGAACUAUGUAUAUAUAUAUAGCUCUAUUGUCCAACUGUUAGCAGUAACAAAUUUAACUAACCCUGGCCCCACACAAAUGCUGAGUCAGCACGCCACUUAGUCACAUAACAGAAUUAACUAAUCAAGCUUCACAAAUCUCCACCUUAGUUGAUUCUGUCCCAGCUUCACCCAGCUCUGGUUCAGAUGGUUAAUAUGCUUGACUUAUAAGCUUCUAACUCCAAUCAAGUUCAGAGAGUUUCUGAACUUGACUGUUGGUAUUGGUUUUGUCAGUGCAUCUGCUGGAUUGUCUUCAGUAGAGAUCUUUACAACAUCCACUACUCCUCUUUCAAUUUCCUCUCUUAUGAAAUGUAGCCUCAAAUCCACAUGCUUGGUCCUCUCAUGAUAUUUGGAGUUUCUGCUCAACUGAAUUGCACUUGAGCUGUCAUAAUAGAUGGGAAUUGUAUCCUGAAUCAAACCCAAUUCAGAUAUAAUCCCUCUGAUCCACUUAGCUUCUUUAAAAGCUUCAGUAAGUGCAAUGUACUCAACUUCAGUAGUUGAUAAGGCAACAACUGAUUGCAGUGAUGCUUUCCAACUUACAGCUCCUCCACACAUGGUAAAAACAAAGCCAGUAGUAGACCUUCUUUUGUCUAAGUCACCAGCAAAGUCUGAGUCCACAUAGCCAAUGACUUUACUUGUGACAUUGUUAUCUCUACUAAACAAAAUACCAGAAUCAGAUGAACUACUCAGAUACCUAAGUAUCCACUUAGCAGCACUCCAAUGCAUUUUGCCUGGGUUCCCCAUGAAUCUGCUAACUACUCAUACCCCGUAAGCAAUAUCAGGCCUAGAGCACACCAUGGCAUACAUAAUGCUUCCAACCACACUAGAGUAAGGAAUUUUCUUCAUAUGCUCAAUAUAUGCAUCAUCAGAUGGUUCUUGCUGUUUUGACAGCUUGAAGUGUGUGCCUAAAGGGGUGGAAACUGCUUUAGAGGUAACCAUGUCAAACUUGCCAAGCACCCUUUUGACAUAACCAGCUUGUGAGAGAAAUAGAGUCUUUGCAGCUCUAUCCAUUUUGACCUGCAUUCUUAGAAUCUUACUGGCAGAGCCUAGGUCCUUCAUCUCAAAUUCAGCCCUUAGCUCAGUUUUAAGCUUUUCUAUUUCUUCUAUGUGCUUGCAUGCAAUGAGCAUGUCAUCAACAUAGAGAAGCAAAUAAAUCCCAUCUCCAGAAGGUAGGAACUUGCAGUAUACACAGCUAUCAUAUUGACUUCUCAAGUAACCAUGAGCAAUCAUAAAUUGGUCAAACCUCAAAUACCACUACCUGUGGGAUUGCUUUAAACCAUAUAAGCUCUUCUUAAGCAAACACACCAUGUCUUCUGACUCCCUUUGUAUGAAGCCUUCUGGCUGUUCCAUGUAUAUCUCUUCUUCAAGAUUGCCAUGUAGGAAGGCUGUUUUGACAUCCAUUUGAUCCAGCUCCAGAUCAUGGUGGGUUGUAAUUGCAAGCAACACUCUUAUUGAGCUAUACUUGACAACUGGUGAAAAGACUUCACUAUAAUCUAUCCCUUCUCUUUGUGUGAAGCCCUUUGCCACCAGCCUAGCCUUAUAUCUAGGGUGUUCUACACUUGUAACUCCAUCUUUAAGUUUGAAAAUCCACUUACACCCAACCAGCUUCCUAUCUUCUGGUUUUCUCACCAGAAUCCAGGUGUUGUUUUUCUUCAAUGAGGAUAUUUCUUCUUCCAUUGCUGACAGCCACUUUGAUUUAUCCCUGCUGUUCAUGGCUUGCUUAUAGCUGCUGGGUUCCUCCCCAAUAACUUCUUCAGCAACAUUCAGUGCAUAUGAUAUCAAAUCUGCUAUGCCAAAUCUCUUAGGCAUUUUGAUAACCCUCCUUUCUCUGUCUCUUGCCAGCUGGUAGUUAUCCAUUUCUGAGGAUCUAGUUUUACUGUCACAAGACUUGGACUCUUCAUUAGUGUCCUUGUGAUCAUCAGUAAGCUCCACCUCCAGGUUAAGCUUAUGGUUGGCCUUUUGCUCAUAAAUUGUCAGUUUUGUUUCAACCUUUUGCUGGAGCAGGGAACCCUCAUCAAAUACAACAUCCCUGCUUACUAUAAUCCUUGAAGGUUUCCCAUCAAUGCACGAUAUUCUAUAUCCCUUAACACCUUCAGGGUAACCAAUAAAGAUACCCUUAAUUGCCCUAGGUUCCAGCUUUCCUUGGUUGAUAUGAGCAUAUGCUGGUGAGCCAAAGAUUCUCAUAUUGCUUAGAUCAGGGGGUUUUCCAUACCAAACCUCUUAUGGAGUUCUGAAGUUGAGUGCUGAUGAGGGACUUCUAUUUAUCAAGUAUGCUGCUGUGGUGACAGCUUCAGCCCAAAAAUGUUUUGAGAGGUUUGCACUAAACAACAUGCAUCUCACCUUUUCCACUAAUGUUCUAUUCACCCUCUCAGCAAGUCCAUUUUACUGGGGUGUGUGUCUAACAGUCUUGUGCCUUGCAAUUCCCUUCUCUCUGCAGAACUCAUCAAACUCUUUACUACAAUACUCCAACCCAUUAUUAGUCCUUAGUCUCUUUACUUUCCUGUCAGUUUGGUUUUCAAUUAAGGUCAACCAUUCCUUAAACUUUAGUAGAGCUUCACUCUUAUGCUUUAAGAUAUAAACCCAAACCUUCCUGGUAUAGUCAUCAAUCAAUGUCAUGAAGUACCUAGCUCCACCAUGUGAUAGCACUUGAGAUGGACCUCAUAAAUCUGAAUGUAUAUAAUCUAUUGAAUUAUUGGUUUCUUGCUUCCCAGUCCCAAACCUCUAUCGAGUUGCCUUUCCAAACACACAUUUUUCACAGAACUCAAGAGAUGAAAUCUGACCAGAACCAAUUAGACCUUGUUUGCCUAAUUCUUUCAACCCCUUUUCACUCAUGUGAGCUAAUCUCAUGUGCCAUAAUUUUGUUUUAUCUCUGCUAACAGAGGCUAUAACUCCUGGAGAGGAAGGGGAGCCUAUUAGGACAUAUAACCCAUUUCUUCUGAUUCCCUUCAUUAUAACUAUGCCAUUUUUAGUAACUUGGAGUUCACCAUUUUCUGCCUUAAUGCUACAGCUUGACUGGUCAACAGUCCCUAAGGAUAUUAGAUUCCUCCUAAGCUCUGGAACAUGUCUCAAAUUCCUUAGCUCUCUAUCUACCCCAUCAUGUAUAGUUAUGGUAACAGUUCUAAUUCCAGUAACUUUACAGGCCAGGUUAUUUCCCAAUAAAACCUUACCUGUAUCAACUUUCUCAAAAGUCUUGAAGAGUUGCUUGUUUGGGCUCAUGUGGAAGGAGCAACCUGAGUCCAAGAUCCAUUCUUCAGUGGGUUGUCUUUUUGCAGCUACGAGUACAUCUGCACCUUCUGAAUCCCCUUCAUCUUCUGAUGCAAUGGCUGCCUUCCCUGAUGAUUCUUUCUAGAUCUUUUCAAGUUUCUUCUUCUCGAAACAGUCCUUUAUAUAAUGCUCUUCCCUCUGACAGAAAUAACACUUUCUCUUCUUCUUUUUCUUGUCAGCUUUAUCCUUCUUAUUGUUACUUUUCUUUGCAUGAUUCUUCUUCUUUUCAGGUUUUGAUUUGGCUAUCAGGCGUUCACUAAGGCCCUGAUCUUUUCCCUCAGCUCUUUUCUUUAAAUCUUUUGAUUCCAGAGCAUUCUUCACAUCUUUUAACGUAAGGGUUUGUCUCUCAUACAGUAAUGUGUCAACAAAGUGCUCAUAUGAAUCUGGCAGUGAGCUUAACAAGAUAAGAGCUAUGUCUUCAUCUUCAAGAUUUACAUUAACAUUCUCAAGAUCCAGGAUUAGCUUGUUGAAUUCAUCGAGAUGGUCUUUCAUGGCUGUUCCCUCCUUCAUUGAGAAUGUAUACAACUUCCUUUUCAUAUAGAGUCUCUUGGCCAAAGACUUCUUCAAGAAUAGUUCUUCAAGUUUCGAUCAGAGGCUAGAUGCAGAUUUUUCUUUAGCAACCUCUCUCAGCACUUCAUCUGACAGAUGCAAGAUUAUGGUGCUGUGAGCUUUGUUGUUAAUGGACCUUAUGUCUCCACCCAAGCUUGAGGAGCCUUCUGAUUUCUCUUUCUUGCCAAUUUGAUCUUCUUUAUUUUCAAUAGCACUGUCAAGCCCCCGUUGGAUCAAGAUUGCAUGCAUCUUGAGACUCCAUAGAUAGAAGUCAUUUUCUCCGUUGAAUUUUUCUACAUCGAAUCUUGUACUAGCCAUUUUCGAACAAGAACUGAGAGCUUUUAGAGCUCUGAUACCAGUUUGUUGUGGAAUUUCUCAAGAUCCACUGUUGUUAAACAACCAAGCUGAGCUAUUGAACCCAAUCAAUCAAGAUCAACCUUUCUUUUACCAAGAAAGUUAACCAGCUCAAUGCAAGUAAUAACUAGAAAAGAAAGAAGAUGAACAAGAAAACAAUGCACACAGUAUAACGUGGUUCAGUACCAAAGUACCUACAUCCACGACCAAAUAAACCCCUCUGGGCUUGAAGCUUUUAUUUAACAAAGUGUUUACAAUGAGAGUAUUGAUGACAAAGAUUAAAUCUCUUCUAUAGAGAAUUUUCUAUCUCUCACCCUAGCUCUCUCAAAAUCGUGACUUAACCAUCCAUCUGAUCAGCCCUGAACUAUGUAUAUAUAUAUAGCUCUGUUGUCCAGCUGUUAGCAGUAACAAAUUUAACUAACCCUGGCCCCACACAAAUGCUGAGUCAGCACGCCACUUAGUCACAUAACAGAAUUAACUAAUCAAGCUUCACAAUUACGUAUGAUCAUUAUAUAUGCUUUUCAUGGUUAGUAAUAUGAUUUAAAUGUUAAAUGAUUUAUUACUAGUUUCUCGCAUAUGGUUUGAUGAAAUCGUGUUUGGAAAUGAUAUGAUUAUUUCUUUUAAAGUAAGAAUUAAUUUUAAAAAACUACUAUCCACUCAUUGAUCUCAUUGAGUUUUAAACUCACCCCAUUUUUAUUAUAUUUUUCCCCUCACUAGGAGGUCGCAGGUACAUCAGACUGACCCAGCGACUGUAAAUAUAUUUUGAGUCUUGGCCACGUGAUGGUGUUAGAGGAUAUAGAUGUUUUUUAUAGGACAUCUCAGUUAUCUUGUUCUUUUGGGAUUGUAUAAUUUUAUUAUAUUAUUCUUUUGGAGAUUAAGAAUAAACUGAGAUAUCAAUAUUAGUUAUAAUAUUAUCUUUUGAGAUUCUUGAGAUAUAAAAUUCAGCAUUUUGGUUGAGGGUAUUGAUCACUGGAGUUUGUUGUAUAUUGAAUUAUAUUGGGAGUGUUAUAUUCAUAGUUGUAGAUUAGGAGUGAUAUAUAUAUAAAGGAGACUCUGCCAAAUUUUUGACAAAAUCCUUACUAAUUAGAUUAUUAUCAAGUCCGUUUUGAUGAGACUAGAGUGACUAGCCCGAGGGAUUCGGGGCGGGUCGUUUCAUUUAUCUUCAUCGUUUCCAACAACAACAGUCAGCAACUCGGCUUCUGCAACAGCAACAGCGAGAGUCGUUGUCAAAGAACAAAUUCACACUGAACCAGCACAAAAAUCACCACCGGCAGCCACAGCUGCUGCUCGAGGAAAGCACCAAUCCAGUUCCUAGUUGGCAAGAAAAUAUGCCAUUCUUGAAGUUCAACAAUCAUCUGACCUCACUUCCUCUCUCGAGAGGUCUUGUUUUGUCAUUUCGAUGGAUACCUAUUUGUUGUUUCUUUUAUUUUUUUGGUUGAGUGUUGACCCUUGAUGAUUAUCUCAACUGGGUUUCUAUUUUUUUCAACUAAUUUAGUGACAAAGUUAGGACUUUUCUUUUUUUUUCUGAAUUUGUUUUCUGAGGUGUGUCGAUUUUGAUUAUACUUGACAUUGAGUUGCUGCGACUUCUAAUCCACAAUUAGUGUCGAAUAGAAAGAAUCAUUGGGUGGAUAGUUGAUAAAUAGUAAUUUCCCAUCAAUAAGUAAAAAGGUGAAUGUAUAUCAAACAGUUUAGUUGCAGUACUUUCCUAGUCGAAUAGAGCAGGACUAUUGCUGACUUACCCUUCAUUUUCUUAUAUGUAUGUUGUAUUUUGCAAAUUUGUUUUUGGAUGCUGACACUAUUGCAAUUUACAUGCUGACUUCGCUUUGGUUAGAAAACCUUGAUUCCUUUGCAAUGUUCAAUGCCAUUUAGUUUUGAGCCUAAAGUGAUUAGUAUGUUGUUUAUAAUGUUCUAUAUUAAUCGAAACAUGAGAGUUACAGUGUUAAUUUUGGAGGUCAACAAUGACUUUCCAAUGAACAAGUUGGCUAGCAGUCACAUUGCAUAAGCACUAUAGUAUAGUUUGAAUAAGAAGAAUAAAAUAAUCGUAAUUUCAUUGAGUACCUCUCUUUUCUUGACUGCAUUCCUCGUUGGAAAAGUUUGUUAGAUGGAAAUUCUGGUUGUCUUUUAGACUUAAGUUUUAGUGACAAUACAUUUGGUGAAAAUAUUUUUACUUCAUGACAUCAUCUUGAAGUUUUGUUGUUAUGGAGACAAAUAUGUAGCUCAAUUAGCUUGGCAUUAUAAGAUAAAUGUACUUCUUUGCAGAUUAGAAGGGAUAUUAAAGGUGCCAGACUUGAAUGCUAUUUUGCGACAUUUUGGGGAUCUUGGCCGAGGGCAGGAUGUUUUGGAGGUCCUACUACUUUCCUUUUGUUUUGUUUAUCUUUUGUGCACGCCAUUGAUAUUUUUGAUGGUAAAACCUGUUGAGUUUAUUUGUUUACAUUUCUUUAUUCAAAUGCAUGUUCAAUUCCUGAUUUAUUAUUAGUUGGGUUUGCUUACUGAUUAAAUAUCAAUUUUUUGGUCCUGUGUAUGUACCUUUUUUAAUGAUCAUUUUGUACCCAAUUAAGUGUUCUUUCUUAAAUGGAGAUCCCAUUUUGGUAAAACAAAAGUUGUUUCUGUUUUUUAUACAAAUCUCUGCCUUAUGAUUCAAAAAAAUGUAGACACUCCAAGAGAAAUAAGGUUAGCUGAAUAUGGGUGGGAGGAUUAUCUAUAUCCUUCUUCAAUAUUUGUUCAUUACACUUUCCUGAGUGAGCUUUCGCUGGAGAAUCCUCAUUUUUAUAGAUUCUAUAUUUGUUAAUUGCUUGAUUGCAAAAAGUUAUUCUGUAUUAGUAUACAAAAACUACUUUAUGCAUUUGUUUUUGUUUUUAUUAUUAACUUGUUCAAAUUAUGGUUUUGAAAUUAGCCUAUUUCAUUUCAGCUAUAGGGAAGAUCAUUCUCAAAACAGUAAUUGAUUUGCAAUUUAUCAUAAAUAUCAUUCUGAUAAUUUAGUAUGGCUUGUUACGACGGCAUCAACCCAAUUUAUGGCUUGCUACCACAUGAAGUAUCCCAAAAUGCUUCUAUUCUCUUUCCGUCCUAUGUGAACAAUGGUUUACUGAUGCUAAUAAGUACUAUUUUUUUAAUACUUUGUGCUUGGUGUUUCUGCAGCUCUUUGAGUGGAUGCAACAACAUGGCAAGACUAGUAUUUCUUCUUAUAGCAGUUAUAUCAAGUUCCUUGGGAAAAACGGCAAUUCCCUUAAGGCUCUAGAAAUCUACAAUAGCAUUACAGAUGAAUCGGACAAAGUUAAUGUCUUUAUAUGUAAUUUGAUUCUCAGUUGUCUAGUCAGGAAUGGAAAGUUUGAGAGCAGCCUCAAACUGUUUGAUAAAAUAAAGCAGAGUGGUCUGACACCAGAUGCUGUUACUUAUAAUACGGUAUACCAAUCUGAUCACAUUACAUGGAUUUGAGGAUGUUAAAUGUUUGUUCGAAGUUGAGUUCAGUCAGGCAAAUGAUUAUAAAAUUCUGCCUUUUGUAUGACACUCGGUGUUGUAGUUGACAUGUAAGUUGCACAGUCUUUGAGUGACAGCUUUGUUGAACAACGGGUUUGACACAAGUGAAAGAGUCAACUUUUAUAUGCAUGUAAUAUUCUUUUUCUUUUCUAUGGUUACAUAAUCCAUAUUGUGAAUCUGAUUUGCUAUUUUAUUUUUGAAAGUUCUUCUAAAGUGUGAAUAAGCCAGAGAAAGACAGAAUAAAUGGAUUUGACAUAGAUUUAGAAGAAAUAAAUGUGCUGCCGUGGAAUAGCAUCAAGCUUUGUUGGAAUGAAGUGCCAAGAUCAUUUUCUAACAAAAUGCCAGAGUCUUUUUAACUGUUCUUCAUUACAUUUUUCUUUUGUCUUCCAUAGCUGCUUACAGGUUGCAUUAAGGAUAAAAAUGGCUAUUCUAAAGCAUUAGAGCUGGUUCAGGAACUUAAGUAUAAUGGAGCGCAGAUGGAUGGCGUGAUGUAUGGGAUACUUUUGGCUAUUUGUGCUUCAAAUAAUCUAUGUGCCGAAGCUCAGAGCUAUUUUAACCAGAUGAAAGUUAAAGGCCAUCCUCCUAACGUAUAUCACUAUAGCUCUUUGCUUAAUGCUUACUCCUCUGGUGGAGACUACACGAAGGCCGAUGAAUUAAUUCAGGAUAUGAAAUCUUCAGGGUUAGUACCGAAUAAGGUUUGUUUCAUGUUUAUAUGGCCAUUCUAGUUUCAGGAGUUACUAGGCAUUACUUAACAAUUGAGUUUUGCUCAUCUUGAAAUAGGAAAGAUUGAAAAUCGAUGUAUACAUGUGAAUUUGGUAGAAUAGAGAAUUUGUACUGAAUUUCAAAUGACAAAAGAACACAGUUAUGAUACAUAGUUAUCAUGGUGAAUUGAGGCUUAUCGAACCGUAUUCUGUCUAUGCUUUCAAAAUCAAGUGUAAUUGUUUUGGUGCAGCAAAAAUGUAUUAGUAUUAUGGUACAUGGAUGCUAUCCUGAUUAGGGGAUUUCAGUGAUUAGUUGGUUUGUUUGGCCUUUUUCAGUGGAAGCAAGAAGUUAAGGGAACAAGUCUAAAGGGAUACUUCAUAUUUGGGUUGAAACGGAACUAUAAAAGAAUAAAAACGCAUCAUGGGGGUUUGGAUUUCAUGCUAUAAGAGAUUAUUGUAAAGGAAUGAAUUGGUGCUUUUCAAUAUAUGCCAAAUCUAUUUUCAUGGGUAUCUAGGUCAAAAUAGCGCAUAAAGUAGUGAGUUUCUUGUUAUCUCUUUUCUUUUUGUUCUGUGCAUUUUCAAUAAUUUGCUUUGUAAACACGUGUGUUGGCAAUUGUGUGCUUUUCUUAUGUUUUCUUUUUUAGGGUAAAUCAUUCUUUUUGCAGGUAAUACUGACAACAUUGCUGAAGGUAUACGUCAGAGGAGGUUUGUUUGAAAAAUCAAGGGAACUAUUAGCUGAACUGGACACUUUAGGCUAUGCUGAAAAUGAGGUACAUUGAUGAAUUUUUACCUUUCAUAUGUAUGUUGAAAUAUCAAUCUUGUUGAAGAUAUGAUAUGUAGUUUUAAUAUUGUGUUUCAGAGUAGAAUGUGUUAUUUAUUACCUUUAGGAUCAUAGCAGAUCUGACACCGGACACAAUAGAUGGGAAAACACAAUGUCACACACCCAAGAAAUAACAAGCUCAAAACCACAGCAAAAAAUUCACCACCUAAAGUUGUUAAGCUAAGGAUACAGGGCUUAAAAUACUCACCACUCAAUGGAAUCCACCAAAGUGAUACAGAGUUUGAUAAUAACUCAAAGUUCAUCCAAUCCCCAAAAUUAAUCUCUAUCCUUUGGUUACAACUACAUAAGCUUAAAUAACUUUCUUGGAACAAUCCUCCAAGCAUAGAUAUACUACAAAGAAACCCUCCAAAUGACUUGACUUCAAAGACCAACAUUAAAGCUAGACAUUAAUAGAACAUUGGUAUGCUUAAAACACAGCAAAGAGCAUUAAAAAAAGUCCAAGUCCAGAAAUAUUCUUCUUGACUCAAAACUGAACAGCCUGCACUUAACUGAUCAUAACUUACUGUACAAAGCUCGAAAUUUGUAUUAGUAAAAUUCAUUGGAAAGCUAACAGAAAUAUAUUUCCAAUGAUGUAUGACUGGAAAAUUAGUUCAAUCUCAUGCAGUACAGUUUAAUUCCCAAAGAUGCCCCUUCUGCACAGAAAUUCUGCUCACUUGAUUAAUAAGAACUUGAACUGCACUUGGUAUAACUUGAAUACCAAAUAUUUCAAACACCCCUGUGUUAAUCUCCCCUAGUUGAAAAAAAUUCAACCUCGAGUUUUGAUCAUUUUCUUCAUGAUAAGGAGACAAGUCUGAUAUGUUGAAUGUUGAUGAAACACCAUAGCCAUCUGGUAGCUCAAUCUUGUACGCAUUAUCACCAAUGCGUUGCAACACUUUAAAAGGUCAUUCAGCCCUUGGUCUAAGCUUAGCAUACUUCCUAGGUGGAAAACGAUCUUUUCUAAAAUGAACCCAAACCAAAUUUCCUUCCUGAAACUUAGCAUUUCUUCGAUGCUUGUCUACAGAUUUUUUAUACUUCUCAUUUUGCUUCAAUAUUCUAUCUCGAACCUGUUCAUGCAUCUUCUCGAUACUUUUAGAGCGUUCUUCAGCCUCUCCACUAAAUUGAUGAUCAGUCAAAAAGUGGAGCCAAAUCCAAAGGACUAAUUGGAUUCUUGCCAUAAACUACUUCAAAGGGACUUGAACCAGUAGUUUGAUGUAUGGAGUGAUUGUAAACAAAUUCAAUCUAAGGCAAAAUAAGAUGCCAUUGACGAAUGUUCUUGCCCACAUAACUUCUCAAGAGAUUUCCCAAGCUUCGAUUCGUCACUUCAGUCUGAUCGUCAGUUUGAGGAUGAUGAGAAGAGCUGAAUUUAAGAGUGGUUCCCAACUUCUUCCAAAGAGUGUGCCAAAAGUGACUCAAAAACUUUGAAUCCCGAUCAGAGACAAUGGUUUUUAGAAUUCCAUGUAGCUUCACAAUCUCCUUGAAGUACAAAUCAGCCACAUAAGAGGCAUCCAAUGUCUUGUUACAUAGAACAAAAUGAGCCAUUUUUUAGAAUUGAUCAACCACCACCAUGAUAGAGUCUUUGUUUCUUUGAGUUCUUGGCAACCCAACAACAAAGUCUAGACUAACAUCUUCCUAGAUAAGCUUAAAUAACUUUCUUGGAACAAUCCUCCAAGCAUAGAUAUACUACAAAGAAACCCUCCAAAUGACUUGACUUCAAAGACCAACAUUAAAGCUAGACAUUAAUAGAACAUUGGUAUGCUUAAAACACAGCAAAGAGCAUUAAAAAAAGUCCAAGUCCAGAAAUAUUCUUCUUGACUCAAAACUGAACAGCCUGCACUUAACUGAUCAUAACUUACUGUACAAAGCUCGAAAUUUGUAUUAGUAAAAUUCAUUGGAAAGCUAACAGAAAUAUAUUUCCAAUGAUGUAUGACUGGAAAAUUAGUUCAAUCUCAUGCAGUACAGUUUAAUUCCCAAAGAUGCCCCUUCUGCACGGAAAUUCUACUCACUUGAUUAAUGUAAGAACUUGAACUGCACUUGGUAUAACUUGAAUACCAAAUAUUUCAAACACCCCUGUGUUAAUCUCCCCUAGUUGAAAAAAAUUCAACCUCGAGUUUUGAUCAUUUUCUUCAUGAUAAGGAGACAAGUCUGAUAUGUUGAAUGUUGAUGAAACACCAUAGCCAUCUGGUAGCUCAAUCUUGUACGCAUUAUCACCAAUGCGUUGCAACACUUUAAAAGGUCAUUCAGCCCUUGGUCUAAGCUUAGCAUACUUCCUAGGUGGAAAACGAUCUUUUCUAAAAUGAACCCAAACCAAAUUUCCUUCCUGAAACUUAGCAUUUCUUCGAUGCUUGUCUACAGAUUUUUUAUACUUCUCAUUUUGCUUCAAUAUUCUAUCUCGAACCUGUUCAUGCAUCUUCUCGAUACUUUUAGAGCGUUCUUCAGCCUCUCCACUAAAUUGAUGAUCAGUCAAAAAGUGGAGCCAAAUCCAAAGGACUAAUUGGAUUCUUGCCAUAAACUACUUCAAAGGGACUUGAACCAGUAGUUUGAUGUAUGGAGUGAUUGUAAACAAAUUCAAUCUAAGGCAAAAUAAGAUGCCAUUGACGAAUGUUCUUGCCCACAUAACUUCUCAAGAGAUUUCCCAAGCUUCGAUUCGUCACUUCAGUCUGAUCGUCAGUUUGAGGAUGAUGAGAAGAGCUGAAUUUAAGAGUGGUUCCCAACUUCUUCCAAAGAGUGUGCCAAAAGUGACUCAAAAACUUUGAAUCCCGAUCAGAGACAAUGGUUUUUAGAAUUCCAUGUAGCUUCACAAUCUCCUUGAAGUACAAAUCAGCCACAUAAGAGGCAUCCAAUGUCUUGUUACAUAGAACAAAAUGAGCCAUUUUUUAGAAUUGAUCAACCACCACCAUGAUAGAGUCUUUGUUUCUUUGAGUUCUUGGCAACCCAACAACAAAGUCUAGACUAACAUCUUCCUAGGGAGCUUCAGGGACUGGUAAAGGAUUGUAUAGGCCUGUGUUUUAACCAUGAGCUUUGGCAAUAUGACAGAUUUUACACCUCUGCACAUGAUGCACAACAUCUUUAUCCAUCUUUGGCUAAUAUAAAUUACCUUGCAAGCAAGCUAACGUCUUAUCCUUUCCAAAGUGACCUCCAACAGCACUGCCAUGUGCCUCCAUGAUAAUAGAUUCCCGCAAAGAACACUGAGGAAUACAUAAACAAUUCCCCUUGAAAAGAAAGCCAUCAUGCAAUUGGUACUGAUCAUAUGAUCCAUUCUCACAUUCUCUCCAAAUCUUACCAAAGAAAGAAUCAUCUUUGUAUAGCUCUUUUAAAAUUUCAAAGCCUACAACCUUCACUUGCAUAGAAGAAAGCAAGGAAUGUUUUCGACUUAAAGCAUUAGCCACAACAUUUUGAGCACCCGAUUUAUACUUGAUGGUAAAAUUGUAAGCUUGAAGAAACUCCACCCAUCCGACAUGUUUUCUACUAAGCUUUUGUUGACUAUUGAUAAACUUUAGUGCAUCAUGGUCGGAGAAGAGAAUAAAUGGCCUUGAAAGCAAAUAUUGACUCCAAUGGUUCAAAGCUCGGCAAAUAGCAUACAAUUCUUUGUCAUAAGUUGAGUACUUUCUGCAAGAGUCAUUCAAUUUUUCACUAAAGAAAGCGAUUGGUUUCGUUUCUUGCCUAUGUACAGCACCAAUUCCAGUAUUAAAGGCAUGACACUCAACUUCAAAUACCUUGCUGAAAUAUGGAAGUGAAAGAACAUGCGCUUCAAUCACCUUUCUCUUGAUGAUUUCAAAACUCUCUUGUGCUUCUUUAGUCCAUUUGAAACCUCCUCCUUUCAAGCAUUCAGUUACUGGAGCAACAAUUGUACUGAACCCUCUGAUAAAUCAUCGAUAAAAAGAAGUAAGACCAUGGAAACUUUGGAUUUCAUGUAGCGACUUAGGAAUUGGCCAGCUCAAAAUGGCCUCCACCUUGCUUGGAUCCAUUUUAAUUCUAUCUUUCGAUACAACAUAACCCAAAAAGACAAGGCUAUCAGUAAAGAACCUGCACUUUUUCAAGUUGACAUAAAGCUUUUGAUUUCUGAAAAUCUCAAAGACUUGGCGAAGAUGCUCUAAGUGUUGUUUUUCAUCUUGGCUAUACACAAGCAUGUCAUCAAAACACACAACAACAGAUCUACCAAUCAGAGGCUUAAAAACGUGAUUCAUCAGCCGCAUGAAAGUGCUUAGGGCAUUAGAUAGACCAAAUGGCAUAACCAUCCAUUCAUAAAGUCCAUCCCUUGUUUUGAAGGCCGUUUUCCAUUCGUCACCAGGCCUCAUUCUUAAUUUGAUGAUAGCCACUUCGAAGAUCGAUCUUAGAAAAGAUUGUAGCACCAUAGAGCUGGUCUAGAAGAUUGUCAAGGCAUGGAAAAGGGAAACGAUAAUCAAUCGUUAUCUUAUUCACUACUCUGCUGUCAACACACAUACGCCAAGAUCCAUAUUUUUUUUGUACCAAUAAGGCAAGAACAGCACAAGGACUUUUGCUUUCUCUCACCAACCCUUUCCUUAAAAGCUCUUCAAUUUGCCUCUAUAAUUCUUCGUUCUCCUUUGGAUUCAUUCGAUAAGCCGCUUUAUUUGGUAGUACAUAACCCGAAAUAAGAUCAAUGCAAUGUUGAAUCUCCCUCAUGGGAGGAAGGCCAUGUGGUAAUUCUUCUAUAACAACAUCUGAGAAUUCUUCGAGAAAAUAUGUAAUGACCUGCCCCAACCUCCAUAGGGCGAAUCUUACUGAUAGAUCCUUUUACAAUCCAUAAAAAAUAUAUCCUUGAAAAUAAAAAUAUAAAACGCAAACUGUAGCGGAAGAAUUUAAAAUUCAUGCCAAACCAUCUAAUUCCUCCAUUCAAGUCCUUCUCGAUGCUCAUCACGAAUCAAUCCUGAUUUAUGGAAAUUGAAUCACAAUAAACUAUAAUGAGUAUGAAACUCAGUAAGUAAACUAGUUUUACAUGUACCAAAAUACAUAUAUACAUAUAUAUAGUGCAAAUGAAUGACGUGCCAUGGUAUUAGAAAACAUCGUAAAACAAAUCAUCGAAAUCUCAUUAUGUCUUUCUCAAACUUUCACAUUCUCUUUUAAACCACUUACUUGAGCUACCUUCAUUCGAUUACCGCUUAGUAGGACACUCUCUUAACUUUCAUAACUUUCAUAACUUUCAUACUCUUUGGGCUUCUCGCCAAUGCGUCCUUCGCCCACUUAUCUCAUAACUAUAUAAACAUCUAGAGUGUCCUCCACUAAGCCAGUAA